CCCUCCAUGGUCAAUGCGGUCUUACGUUUUGUUUGAACUUUCGUGUCUACUUUGACUUACCUGUCCAGCAAAAAACGGAGAAAACAGAAAAAGUUCAAGAAAGCUCUAGUUGGUAGCCACAAGAGCAAACAAAGGUGCAAGAAUACUCAAAAAGGUAUCUAUAACGACGAUAGACAAAUUACUGAGACUAUUCAGAGUUGCAAGCUUGAAUUGUGAAGAGAAAACUAUUCAAAUGGUGACUUACAAAUAAGCAGAAAGACGGUUGUAGCGCCAAAUCAUUUUCUUUUAGCAUCGAUGAACAUGGCUCGAGUCCAAUGCUCAAUAUCCUCAGAUUGUGAUGGUGGAGGAGGAAAAGUUGGAUGUUCUACAAGAUCCCAUCCUUCUACAAGGGAUUCAUUCUUCCCAGAAUCAGACAACUCAGUGGAACAAAGAGAGCUGGUGGCAUAAGUAGGUAGGUUAUAUUCAUACAAAUUUUUCUGCAAGGCAAAAGAAAACGUAUGACAAUUAAGUAAAGUCUUCAUGCAUGCAAAGAACAGUGGCAUACCAAUUUAACAGUUACCGAAUUAUUUCUUAUUCCUAUGUAUGUGAAAAGAUGUAAACAAUAAUAUCAACCAGCUCCUAACUCAAAAAGGCAGAAGUACACAAAACUGCGCUAUGAGAUAGGACCACUCCUACAAAAGCAAUUAUAGGCCAAUGAAGGGCAAAACCAAUAACAUUGUUGAUUGAGGCACAAAAGUAGACUAGCUAAAAACCCAAAUGUCCUAACAAAACAGAAUUAAAGCCCAAACAUUUACCGUCAUUGUCAUGGCAUGUGCGCUAUCCAGUAGAGUGGUUGACGAUAUGGCAGAAUUCACAUUCCAAACAGAUUUGUUCAAUUGUUGAACUUGCUUACAUGACCUGAAAGUUAAAAGGGAAAUUCCAAUGAAUGUUUAUCUACCAUCCAUAGCAUGCCACUAAAGUAGAGUUCUUUAACAAGCAACCGAGUAUUAAGAAGACCAUUUCCAGUCCAGGUAAAAAGAUGCAAAGAUUUCAAUAUCUAUAGUAUACAGGCAAACGAGGUUAUUACAGUUCAGAUUUCAAGCAUAAACACCCAUAAGCCCAAAAAUAAUUCUUGCAAAACCCAGCACACACAACUUUAUAUCCAUUUUCUGUUCUCAACAUUAAAAAAAAAAGACAAAUAUAGAGAUUAAAACAAUACAAUUGAGUAACCUUUGCUAGAGAAGUCUAAGAAAAUACCAAACUUUAUGCUACAUUCACUAACCCUACAUGGCAUCAGCACACUGUCCCAUAAGUCCAUCUCAAAAUUCUACAAUGAUCAUAUUUUGUUCGUGAUCCAGGCUAAAGGAAUUGAACCUUCCAACUACAGAAGAAAUUCCUCAAGAAUGAUCAUGCAAAUAAAUGAAAGGCUUAAAAGUGUAUUACCAACAAAUUAUAAAGGUGUGUUCUGUUUGACAAGAGAGAGCUUUGGAAAUUUAGUAGAUAUCUUAAUUUUGUACUCCCUCUAAUUGUACGAAAGUUAUUAGAGAAGUUAGGAUCCUUUAUGACCAUAGAAGGGGGCGUGAAGGUGACAUGAGAUUAAAAACCAAUGACAUAGAUAAUUCUUGUAAUUCCAUGAAAUAAUGCAUUUUCAAUUUUAAGGUUUGUAAUCGCCUUCCAAUUGUGAUGCCAACGCCUUGGGACAGUAAAAACAUCCCACGCAGCACCAGCUUCAUUAUCUAAUUAAGGGUGUCCCAUACAACCUAUGCAUAGCCUCUAAGUAGUUCAAGCUUUGUUACAGCAGAUGAAGCAUUGACCCAGUCAACAACCCAAACAUGGAGCACUUAACAUUCUAAUUCAGAUGUUACAAAAGUCACAAUGAUCUACUUUGCAAGAAGAUACUCUCUCAGAAGUUCAGGACUUAAUGUUUGUCCAAACAUUGUUAAAACCCGAUAACAGUUAUUAUUUUAUUAUUUCUGUUUAUGCACAAUAGAACAAAAAUGAAAGCACACAGAACAUAAUUGACAAAGAAAGGGGAUGCAGGACAAUGUACCUUGAACAAGCCAUUUUCAAAGAGAAAACAGAAUGAACUUCCUUGGACGAAGAUAAUGUAGCCAACAAUUUUGCAAAUGCUUCAAAGGUAGAUGCCUCAGAAGGGACAUCUAAACAAAGUGAGUUAUAACAGUAUGCUGUAAUGCAUGCCACACUUUUCUUGAGGAGUGAAAUCCCUCUCUGCAAAUCUUUGUGUGUUUCGACAGAGUGUUGAGAAGCAGAAGUAUAAUUAAAGCUACUACUUCCAGAAGAAUCCAGAUGGGGUUUCCUCUCGGAAUCUAUUGAAGCAACACCAAAAUUACUUGAGCUUCUAUCAGACCACGAAUUUUCACCACUAGUGGAGCAAUAAUUUUGCCGUGGUAUAAAGAGAGGAUAUUCAUUGCUGCAAUAAAAUAAAUUAUCUCAGUCACCAGGAGGAGAAAUCCUCUCCCAUGUCCAAAAAUUAUCUCCAGCCAACGUACCUCCUAGAAGAAGGGCGCGCAUCCCAAUAAGAAUCUCUUUGCCAUAUCCGAGAGCAGGAACCCUGAAGUAAGGCAUCCCAAUUUAAGACGAAAUAUAGCUAAAAAUAAUCCAAAAUACAACAUCAAAAGCCUCAUAUGAAGCUUCAAAUGUCUCUCUAGAAGAAAAGCACAACUUCAAAAUAAAAAUAGAAUGCUUUCACAGAAAGAGGUUUCAAAUGAAGGUAUACUUUUCUUCCGAACCAAAUGUCUUCCCAAAAUAAAUAAAAAUAAAAACACGUCAUAAGCUAACAAUACGAGCAAUUUUAUUUGACAAAUCAAAAUAAGAAUAAUUUCCAUUAUAUAUAUUAAAGCAUUGGGAAACUUUCAGAGACCGUAAACAUCUAUUUUCACUAAUACUUCCAGAACAUUUUAAUAUAAUCAUCAUUAGUACUUUCAAACCCCUAAAGAGUUUGCAAAUAGUAAAUCUUAAUGGUGAGGAAAGACCAUUGUUUUCAAGGGAAUCUUUAAGCCAUCACAUAGAGGGUGAACAGUGCUUACUGCGAAACCUGAGUUAUGAAGUGCUGGAGCAGCUAAGUUCUGAACGACAAGAUUCAGGAGUUGAACCAUGUAUCUGUUCUCCAAUAAUAGGGAUCAGUUAUCAGUGAAAGUGCAAAUCACCAUUGCUAAACAUGAUUCAACUGCACCGGAUUUAACUGAAAAAACAUAAUCUCAAGAGGAAAAAGCAAUAAUUCUCAGCAAGUUCAUGGUGAAUCAGUAAGAUAACAUAAUUCAGUACCAAAUAGCUUCCUGCUUACAAGAAUAUUAGUUUUUUACAACUUUGAAGAGAGAUUACCCCAAAGAAGCAGCAAGCUCUUCUGAUGGAACUGAGUGUGGAUCCAGCCCUCUUGGCAAGCAUGCAUUGCAAAUUUGAUCAUAUUGACCACCAGAUGCAUCUUUCCUCUUUGCAUCAACAGUCACCUAAAAGAAAGAAUGAACAUAAAAAAGCUUGGAUUUAAGCUCCUCAAACCCCAAUAAUUAUAUAGAGGAAUAUCAAAUGCUACGAAUUAUUAACAACCCAGAGCAAAACCACAGUGAUGCUGUUUCUUUUGGAAAACAAAAUGGGUAUAGCUUUCAUUCUACUUAUAUAAGUCAGUCAAUAGCUUCAUGUAACAUAGUCAUCAAGGAUUAUCAAUCAAAUAUAAUCAAACCAUUGAGUUCAUCUAUACUAUUAUCUAAGAGAAUUCUCUUUGUCAACCAAAGGGGAUAAAAUAUCAUUUUUUCAUAAUUAAAUUUAAAGCUAAGGGUCUUACCAUAACUAUCAUUUAUCCCACUUUUAACCCACCCAGCUUCUUCUCCCUCCUACCCUUUUAACUUCCUAUAACUUCUCAUCACACAUGCAGAGCAUGUGUAGGAUGUUUCUAUUAAUACUCAACUCAACUUAUAAGCCAUAUUUCAUGCACAUAAAUCAACAUACAUCUACUUUUGAAGAGCUUACCCGACGUUGGGGAAACAAUUUGCAUAUUUGUUUUAUAACCACUGACUGUUUAUGAAGGCGUUCAGAGGUAAUUGCCAUCUGCAAUUCAGAGAACGAAUCAAGCAUCAAACCUUUUGUUCAAAUAAGAAAAAUGUCUAGAAGAGAAGGAUAAGAAGAAUGCAUGGUAAAGUAAAAACAUAACUACCGUCACAUCUUCGGAGACAAUAAAGCUACACUAACUUCCUUUACUUAAUAAUGCACGAAAGAAGUAUCUAAAUUAAAGGAGUGUAUAAAUAUGCCUUACAUGCCCUAAGUUCUGAGUGCAUAUAAAGUUGGGAUAGAACUUCUCCAGUUGUUCUGCACGAUUUUUUUCCAACUGCAAAUAGGAAAAUUUAGAAGUCCAUGAUAUCUUAAAGAUUUCUAUAGAAUCAAAUAUAAAGAUAUUUCUAAAAAUUGUCGUACCACAGCAAGGGCUGAUUCAAGUACCCCAGAUUUUACUUUUAGGUCAUAGGACGUCUUCUCAAUCUUAGCCUUGCCUGAAAACAUCUCAAUCAGUAUUACAGGAACAACAUCAAUGAAUUUCAACCUAAAUUCUAUUUGGCAAUAGAAAACCAACCUUGCACAAGCUGUUCUUUAUUACAGCGGAGCUUUUCCCUUAACCUCACAAGCUUUUCAUUUUGAAGCACUCUCCAAUUUAGUUGAUCAUCGGCCUUACCCUGACGAAUGUAUAAAACAUCAGUAUAAAUAAAGUAGCAGGAUUCUUUAGAGUCCAUUACCCAUCUUUGCAUCCUCAGUAUAUUUUCUUUUAAGUAAUACUCCGCUUGGAACAAAAUGGACACCUUAAUGGAACACUUUAAAUUUCAAUCAUGUCAAUUUCCGUAGGCAUUCACAAACUUUAACCAGGUAAAUAAUAUUUUUUAAUGAGAACCGAGUGAAAAAUAUCAUCAAUACAAUACAUAAUAUGUUGUAAGAAAACAUGGUUUUAUUCUAAUUAACUUACAGGAUUGUACCUGAAAACUCUAUUUGUACUUGGCAGAAAUAGGCCAUUGGAAUGCAAGGACAAGAGUAUAAAGUAAUAGAAAAAAGAAAAGGCUACCUAAGUCAAUCCAAGGCAGAAACAAACCUUUGCCACAAGCGCCUCAGUCAAUCUUGAAUACAAGGAAUCACGACGACUCUUCAGUGCCUUUAAAGAACUGUUAUACUCAGUUAAUCUGAAAACAAGUAUACCCAUAUAUAAGAUUAAGGACAUGUAAACAUGCAAUUAUUCUAUAACAGUUAGAAUAACUCAUAUUAUCAACGAUUCAAAUAAGUUCAUAAUAUCAACAAUAAAUUUGAAGGACUAUUAAGUUCAGAUGUCACACCUGUAAUUGACACAGAUAGCACAGACAGAAGCGAGAUUUGAACUCUCACAAAUAGCACAAUUACUUGAUUUUCUGUUCAUCAUCUGGCUUUUCUCAAGACAAAAAAAAACAUCUAAAAAGUCAGUGCUUACGAAAUAGCAAAUUCUUUGCUGAGAAAAUAUAACAAUCCGAAUUAGUUCAGUAUCAACUCAAUUUAAUUCAGUCAUAUUCUGAUCAUCAUGGACAGAAUUGAGGCAGAAGUCGACGCAAACAGAACCAAAAGACAAAAAGACAUAAAUCAGAACCCAAUUGAAAUUUCCGACUCAAAAUUGUUGCACAACGUAGAACUUUUGUUUUUUUAUUUAUUUAUAAUCAAUUUCAACUUUUCUCAGCAAACAAACAAACAAAUCCAUGAAAAAUCAGAGGGACUGAGAAUAAGAAGAUAAUUUACCUGAGGCAGAGUCGUCGACGUGCAAUCUACACAACGAGGGUUUUAAAUUUGCGCGCAAAACUCUGUAAUUUGAAGUGGACUCGGAAUUUUUGGGAUUUUUUUCAUUCUCGUAAUAAUUUCGUUAUGAGAGGGGGAGGGAGAGGGCGAGGGCGACACCUCGGCUGGGCGUUUGGCAAAUGAAAAAGCAGAAAAACGAAAAUAAUAAUAUUUUCAUUGGUUUAUUGGGCCUGUAAUGGGCCGGGUUUCUACGGUUUUACUAAGGCCCGUAUUUAUACAUAAUAAACGAGCCCAAACCAGAAUGAGCUCUUAGUACAAAUCCGUACGUACGUUACGCCAGUUGAUCUACUGAACAUGUUGGGAGCUGAAUGAGCUAUAGGGCUAUGGCCACCACCAAUCCUCGAACACGUCUCAAGGCUUGGUUCGAUGAAAGCUAGAACGCGAGGUAUGUUAUUCAGACUGUGAAUAUGAAUCAUUGAUUAAGUUAAUUCUUCCCGAAUUAGUUCAGAUUUAUAGUCUUGCAACAUGAGACGACAAGAGAACGCUAACAUACGCUUGCGUAGGUGCAUAUAAUCCAUAUUUUGUGAUUUAUGUGACACUCAUCUAAUAGCAAGAUUGCGCAUUCAAUUAUGAGAAAAUAUAGCUUCUUCAUGUAAACACACUGUUCACUGAAAAUUGGUGCAGAGGAUGAGAUUGAUUUUAUUUUCAAGCUUAGAGCCAGUAAUUUUACAAAGCUGUAGUUUAUAAUGACCACGGGGCUCGGUGUACAUCAGACUACAAAAACCCAACAAACUACAGCAUUUUAACCUAUAAGGCUGACAAGUCAUUUUGAUGUUUGAAGCUUCAAGCUUCAGAGUGCAUGCCACUAGGAACUUCAGAAAAUCCGGAGUCAUGGCUAGGGUUCUCUUGUAUUUCCAAAGUUUAGCUGAGAUAAAUAGACGGUCCUGGAGAUGAAUUCCAGUGAUCUUUGACAUGCGGACAAGUACUAUUCAUGAUGUAUGCGUUAUUGGUCACAAGAAUUUGUUUUUGACUAACUUCUUCAGCUCCUCCAGUUUUUGAAUGAUCUUUGGAUUCAUGAGGUCUCUUGCUUCCCUAAUUAGAGUGCCUUCCUGGCUGAAAUGGUAAGCAUCCACAACAGCCUUUAUCCAGGUGUGGAGCUUCUCUGGAGUCCUGAUAAAAUUAAAUAAGAAAAAGGAAAGGAUAGCGUACAUGAGCUUUGAAAAACAGAGGAUAGCCGUUCAACUUCAUACAGCUACCAAAUGUAUAAAUUUCUACGAAGUCAUUAGAAAGAGUAAUUAAGUUUUUGAUGCAUACGUGAAUAGGUUAUCUACAUCUUUCCCUUCAAGUUCCUCUCCUGGGGUAAAUGCAUCAUGUAAUGCAGACAGACGCUCCUCAGGAUCCUCAAUGGUGAGAAGAUACUUAAUUAUCCGAAUUUCUUUUGGCAUGAGCUUCUGGAGAUUACCUCUUGCAGUCACAUACAAAUGAUAUAAUACAUCUUUCACCUACUCAAACAAAAAAAACCCAUAAAUUAGAAAGUAUUACACCACCCAAAAAAUAGAAGUUUGGCUUCCUCUUCUUUGUUUCUUUUUUUUUUUUCUUGGGAGGUUGGGAAUCACAAUCUAAUCAAGCUCCGUGUGUCUGUUCAUAAAAUAAUUCUAGGACCAGUACGUCAAAAUGAUACUUGUCUCUAUGUUAUGCAUACGAACAACUUGGAUUGUCAUAGCCACAUAAUAGUGCUGCGACAGCUUAAUCAAAAUUGGAGAAAGACAGUAUCUCUGGCAAGCUAUCAUCUCACCUCAUCUUUUGUCAUGCUCGACUCCUUGGCAGCUGACCAAGCUUUUGUAAUCAUCAUCACCAAUGUUGAGUCGAGUUGACUUUUCUCAGCCAAGUGAUCUAUCUUCCUACAAGCAGCAUCAACAGAAGGAGAGUUGAUAAUAUCUUGAAAUUUCAACUCUGCAGCAUUCAGUGCUUCAAUGCUUUCAGUUGCAGAAUCAUAUGCUUGUACAGCAGCCAAGCACGUAUUUCCAAUACUUGCCAAACCUAUUCAUAUAAGAGAUUGUAAGUUUUUACCCACAAUGUAAUGGAGUAACAAAUAUAUAGAGAUUGGCUGGAUUUCAGGCCUCGUCAUUUAAACUAGCUCACUUCUUGCCCCACAAGGUUAGGCCGUUUCCAAUUCAAUGGCUUGUUUUUUCUUUCCGACUUAAUUUUGGUUAAAAUCCAGACCUGUUAAGGCCUUGCACGGACCCAAUUGCAUAAUUUAAUGUAUAUAAUUUCUUUUUGGCCUCGAAUGUAUCUAAUUUAAAUUAUUAAAAACUACACAAAACCUGCAGUUUACAUUAUUAAUAGUAACGCAACAAAUUAGAUGACAUGUAAACAAGUCUUGGUUUUAGUGGCACUUUCACACAGUAUUUAAGCAAGUACCCCUAAUUAAAUCAGCUAGAUAACUGCUAUAUCUAGUUUGCUACCCCCAGCUGAUAUUAGAACAUAGGUGUAUCAUGCUUUUAAAUGAAGGCAGGCUGAUUAUCUUUUUACUCUUAACGAUAUAUGAUUUGGACAAAGGCAGGAAGGAAUGAUAGUGAUUAAAUGAUAUCAUGCUUCAAGAACAAGACAAACACUGUUAAUUAUAUAAUGCACAUCUUUUGCAAACAAAGUGAUGAGUAUAUCAUAAAUAUUACAUAGUCUCACCAUUUUGCUCUGUUGGAUUGUCGUAAUAGGAUUCAGCAACAGUGUGAACAUGCACAAAAAAUUCUUGUGUAAAAUCUUUGCGACGUCUGGAAACUAUUUCACUAAUUUCUGAUGGAGCCCCUCUAACGACUUUAAGAAGUUCAUUGUGUCUUUGCACAUCUUCAUCAAUCUGCAAAGAAGCAUCCAAUACUGUUAAGUUAACAGCGCAACAAACUCAAACAAAUUUAAGCAUUCCUUGAUGAUUAAAAGAGCCACCAAAUAGAAAAAAACCAAUUUCCUCGUAUAGUCAUGGAAAGGGAAAAUUUGAUUUUAAAUUAUCCUCAUCACAAGUUAUCACUCCAGGAGAUUGUGAACAUCCUUUUAGUCUUGUACUCCCAACAAGUAUUAUCUUAAGAAGUAAAAGCCUGCUUUUUUCUUUAGUGAAGGGGAAUUUGAACCUGAUUGAGGAAGCUGUAGUUAGGAUCAUGGGAGAAUACGCCUACAACCAGGGUUAGCUCACUCAUAGACCAAAGGGUGGAAAAAAAAAAUCUUCUAAUCAGAAGUAAAAAUAUAAUAUACCUUAAAUAAAAGACAUUUAGGUCACCAGUAUGGUAGUGUCACUUUCAGGGCUUAUCAUAUUUUGACUUGCUAGACCUACCUCUUUCAAUUUCCGCCCAAGCCGUAGUAGUUUAUGCUUCAUUCCAGGAUCAUCCUCAGCAUCUGCCCGGUCCUGACAGCGCUUAUAGAAAUGAGGCCGGAUAUCAUCCCAUUCCUUACUGAAAGCUAAUAAUCUUCUCCAGUCAGUUGGAGUGGGCUUGUCAACCAAGAAAACCUCAAUAAGCUUGUCACAUACUUGGGUCAUUUUGUGGUCAUCCAAGCCCCCCACACCACCUUUCUCUUCCCCCUUUUCACCACUUCCUCUGGAUUCAUCUUCAACCAAUGUGGCGUUAGAAGAAUCAGAAAUGGACAAUUCUUCUGCACUAGAACAAUCAUUUGGAACUGCAGUUGUAUCACCAACAGUAGCAGCAGCAACAGGUCUGACUGGUUGUUUAACUGGUAAGAGACAACCUAGCAGUUCAUAACAGCAAUCUAUUACACAGUCACUUCAAAACAGCAGUAAACAUGGUUAGCCUAAAUACAACAAACAUUCCUCCUAAAAAAUCAGCAAGGUGUUUCCCAAUUCCUUUGAUUCUUUUUGGACACAAGUUACAUAAUUUUUCUUUCUUUUCAGCUUCCAAAUUUGACAUAUGACAUACACAAAGGCUUCGAUGUCAUAGAAAGAGGCUUCGGAGAUAAACUAAAGCACAAAAAAGACAAUUACAUGUAGGCUUAGUUCAAAUUAACAAUACCAAGUUUAUGAAAAAUCAAAAGGAAAUUAUCAAAUUAAGCAUGUUCUAAACCUGCCAGUUCAUAACAGCUAUCUGUUACACAAACACCCUCAACCCAGAUACAAAAAAUGCUCCUUCUAAGAAACUAACAACGUAUUUCCCAAUUCCAUUGAUUCUUUUUGGACACAAGUUCAAUUUUUUUUUUCACUUAAUAAUCACAAAUUAACAGCAAUCACUUGUAUGGUGAGUGCAAAUUAACAAUACCCAUUUCAGGAAAAAUCAAACGCAAAGUUAAGUUCGUAAAUUUGGAAUAAAUGAGCAAAGAGUACAUACCAUUGGUGAUUUUGGAAGAUAGGGAAAUACUUCUAGACGAGAUUCUGACGAAAGAGAGAGAAGAAGCGCGGUCUCUGGUAGCGGUUUUAGGGGCUCUUAGUGGGAAAGAACAAGAGGGUUGGAGAGUGGCAGUAGAAACCUCCAUAGAGUUUGCGCCAAAAUUAUUUGCUUGCCCGGAAGAGAUGGAGGAAAAAGAAAUGGCAACGUACUGUAAAGGGUUUUUCAAGCCAACUAUAAAGAGCAGGAGGGUUUUUCACCAAAUUUCCCUUAAACUCACCCCAACUUUUAAAAUUUGGUUUUUUGUCAAAAAAAAAUUGAUGUCCUAUUGAGUAUUUUGAUUUUUUUAUGAGAUUUUGGGAUUUAAAAAAUUAAUAGCAGUUUUGUAAUUUAAAAGAAGUUAAAAAGUAUUUUUGUUAUUUUAUAAAUAAGUUUUGUGUGUUUCUAAAGUCCAUUUCAUAUAAAGUUUUUAUUAUAAUUUGGGUUCUUAUAUCAGGUAUAAUAGGAAAUUUCUCAAAACAAAAAGUAUUUUUCUUAAAAUAUUCUGAAAAUUUAAGUUUCGAGAAAAAUUAGGAGGAUAUUUUAAAGCGGGGUGCACUAACUUUUAAUGCCCAGCGGAGCCCAGCUUUCUCAAACUGAGAUUCUGUUUGAGUUCUUCUUUGUUUCGCGGGGAUUUUCAAACUGCAAAAUAGGCAAUGCUUUCGCCGACUCUCUUGCCACCACGUAUUGGCGUCAAUCUUUAUCAAACACCUUCUCUGCUCUCCAUUCAAUCACCAAUACAGAGAAAGCAUUCAAAUUCAAAGACCAGAAAUCGUAAAACCCCCACGAAUUUUCGUUGUUUUUAUUGCGAAAACCCAUCUUCUACUUACGACUUUGAGAAUUUAAGCUCCCAAGAAAACCCAGAUGCCGAAUUCUCUGAUACUCGGUCACUGAGCCAAAGCUCCAGACCCUAUUUGCUUGCUCUUUGGCUCCGCUCAUGUCGUAGUCUAAAUGAAGUGAGAAGAUUACAUGCAGUUGUUUUGAGGUGUUUAGCGAAUCCUGUUACGUAUGUUUUUAAUAAUUUGAUUUGUGCUUAUAUAGUGUUUGGGAAGUUAGUCGAUGCCCGCAAAGUGCUUGACAAAAUGACUGUUAGGAAUGUGGUUUCUUGGACCGCCAUUAUUAAUGGCUACUUGAACUUCGGUUUGGAUGAUGAAGCUUUGGGUUUGUUUAGUUAUGCUAUUAAUGAGGGGGUUCAACCGAACGGUAAUAUGUUUGUGUGUGUCUUGAAUUUGUGUAGUAAGAGGGUGGAUUAUGAGCUUGGGAGGCAAGUCCAUGGUGGUGUCUUGAAGGGUGGUUGGAGCAACUUGAUUGUUGACAGCGCCGUUGUUAAAUUAUAUGCGCAAUGUGGAGAGCUGUCAAGUGCUUACCGCGCAUUUGAUCAGAUGCCAAAGUCGGAUGUAGUUUGUUGGACAACUAUGAUAACUGCUUGUUCCCAACAAGGGCAUGGACAGGAGGCUUUUUCACUGUUCUCGCAAAUGUUAAGUGAGGGGUUUUCGCCUAAUGAGUUUACGGUGUGUGGUGUUCUCAAGGCUUGUGGGGAAGAGAAGGAGUUAAGAUUUGGGAGGCAAUUACAUGGUGCCAUAGUUAAGAAGAUUUACAAGAAUGAUGUUUUUAUAGAAACUUCUCUAGUUGAUAUGUAUGCAAAAUGCGGGGAGAUGAUAGACUCAAGAACCGUAUUUGAUGGAAUGAGGAACCGAAAUACAGUUACAUGGACAUCUAUUAUAGCAGGGUAUGCUCGGAAGGGCUUCAGUGAGGAGGCUAUAUGCCUCUUUCAAGUAAUGAAGAGGCGAAAUAUAUUUGUCAACAACUUGACCAUUGUAAGCAUCCUCAGAGCAUGUGGCUCAAUGAGGGAUUCGCUGAUGGGGAGGGAGGUUCAUGCACAGAUAGUAAAGAACUCAACUGAAACCAAUUCACACCUAGGAAGUACUUUAGUGUGGUUCUACUGUAGGUGUGGGGAGUACUCUAAUGCUACAAAGGUCCUCCAACAAAUGCCUCUAAGAGAUGUUGUCUCAUGGACAGCCAUCAUUUCUGGCUGUGCACAUCUUGGGUUUGAGUCUGAAGCUCUUGAAUUCUUGAAUGAAAUGAUGGAGGAUGGGGUGGAGCCCAAUGCAUUUACUUACUCAUCCGCUCUGAAAGCAUGCGCCCAGCUGGAAACCGUUCUGCACGGGAAAUUGAUUCACUCCUCUGCAAAUAAAAGUGCUGCCAUGUCUAAUGUUUUUGUGGGUAGCGCUUUGAUUUCUAUGUAUGCAAAAUGUGGCUAUGUAACGGAGGCAUUUCAAGUUUUUGACAGCAUGCCAGAACGGAAUUUGGUUUCUUGGAAGGCUAUGAUAGUGGGUUAUGCAAAGAAUGGUCUCUGCCAAGAGGCUAUGAAGCUCAUGUAUCGGAUGCGAACAGAGGGUUUUGAGGUGGAUGAUUACAUCCUUGCCACUGUUCUUACUGCAUGUGGAGAACUCGGAUGGGAGAUGGACCCUUCAUGUGAGUGUAGCUUGCAGUCCAGUUGAUCCUUUUGCCUGAUCAAAACUUCAGAUGAAGGUGGAAUUGUGUUGAAGAUAUCGAUGGCUACCCAUAUGAGAUAUAUAUAUAUAUAUAUAUAUAUAUCCACAAUAUCCAGUGUAUCUAUCAAUUGAAAAGGGGAAAGAUAAAGCUGAACUGAUGGGAGGAAGCCCUUGUCAAGAUUGAUUGACAUACCACAACCUCUUAUUCGACAACGCCUACUCUUUCAUUAUAUAAAGGAAGAAGGGGAGGGUUCAGGUUUGUAAACUUCUUAUACAAGUGAUAUGCCCUCGUAGCCUUUUCUUCGGAUGAAAGUUACCGAGUAAGGGCCCUGGGAAAUACUGAACCCUGCAAAUAUGAACAAAUAGCAUGGAGAAUGCAAGCAGAAGCAGUGUUCGCUGUAGGGUAGCUAUGUAAAUAUGCAUUCAGUUUAACAAGCCAUGUAUCAUGUAUGUUGUGAAAUGUAAGAUGUUAGAUCUUCUCAAUAUAGUCUGCAUUUUCAGAAAAUUUUCUUUGCAAGUUCAUAUUUUCCUUGAACGAAUAGUGUUAAUGGCUCAUACCAUCACUGUGAGCCGAGCUUAUUAGAGAACGCCACGUGGCUGUAGUUGGGCUGGGUUACCUUUAAUACCAACCCGAUCAUACUUGGUACCCUCGAGGGUCGAUAAAAGGCCUCCUAGCCAAGAUCUGACAGGAUAAGGGUCGAAUCCGCUCUCAGUUAUUUGAUCACAAACCCGACCACUCUGGUGUUGUGUUCAACCAGAUGCGCAUUAAUGAUCCACAGACAUGAUCAGACCCCUGUCGAGUCAAACACUCCACCCCUUUGGUAAGACAGCCUGGCAAGUGAGAUAAAUCAGUUAAUGUACAUCCCAUCCAAGACCAAGUGUUGCCUUACCUUUUGAUCCCUGAGUGAACAGACUGGUGAUGGAGAGGGAUCAUUUAAUAUACCUCCCAUCCAAAGCCACAUGUCACUUCGUCACACAAUCCCUGCCAAAUAGUAUGGUGAUCAGAAACAGGUCAUUUAAUGUGGUCUAGUCCUACCAGGGGGAAGGAAGAUAAAUAUCUCCUCCUUAAGUAUCUUUGUCUCUUCUUCUCCCCCUAUAAAUACCCAUCACCUAUCUCUGGACAAAGGUAAUAAAACUCUCAUCUUGUAAACCCUAUAUCCAUUCUCUUCAACUUACAACCAUUUAUGACUUAACCAUCGGAGGGAGUUCAACUGGAACCACCCUCAGUUCGCUCAUAUUCUUAUAGCUGUUCAAAGUGUGCAGGUCUUCUACGGAGAGCAUCUCAACCCAAAAGAUCCGGUAUAGGCCUUGACCUCAAUCUAAGUCCAGGCUAUACAUUUUACGAAAAAGAUACGCGGUUUACAAAUAGAGUAGAAGUUUAUGGUAUUGGUCCACAUGUUGGCUCCUCCGUGACUAGCGCCUUUCCUCUAGAUAGAAUGAAUUUGGUGUGCACUUUGACCGUUUUGGCCUUCUUAUAUUUUAUAUUAAUAUAUAGAUAAAUAGAUACCUUUAAAGAAAGUUUAGCUAAAAUUAAAAUGCUCCUUAAAAGUGUUUAUUUAAUCCUAAAAAAGCACUUUUGUCUUCUUUUUUCUGACGUGCUUUUAAUUCUUUUAACCCUACUGAAAUUUUUUCCAGACAUGCCCUAUAUUUUAUUUGUAAUUAGAGGGAUUCUUAAGUAGGGUUGCCACAUAAGGUAGUUUUUUAACAUUGAAUAUUUAUUGAUAUUAUGCUUUAAAAUCGAGAUUUUAACUAUAUUGUUUACACAUAUUAUACCAUAUUGACAAAUUAUUGCACAUAGUGGUAUUUCAAUGUCAUACGAUAAUAUCUCAUCUUCUGUGAUGUUGAUAAAACAUCACACUUGGUCAAGGAUUUUUUCAUGUAUAUGAUCACUUCAAUUAUUUUAUCACAUAAAAAUUGACUAAUUAAACAUAUCAUUUUAAAAAAGGAAUUAACUUUACGUAUGUGGUACAAAAUAUAUAUAAAAACAUGAGUUAUUUGGACAAAGAUUCACUAAUUUCAAACACAAAGUCGCUAUUUAUUUAUUUAAUUUUUUUUUUGUGUAAGAAAAUUCAACCCGAUCAGUCCACACGUAUAUAAAAUACUGAAGUGUGUACUGGGUCGAAAGUCCAAAAACCCACUCUUAAAUAUUUAUCUUCUUGAGCCCACGGACUUCCCGCUUCCUGCGUUCCUCUCUUCCCUCUGAAAAUCGCGGUUUCAUUUCAGUCUCUCUCUCUCUCUCUCCCUCUCCCCAAAAACCAAUUGUAACUCUCUCUCUCUCACACCAUUUAAUGUCAUCUCUGUAACUGCUCAGAGAUCUCUCUCUCCAGUUUCGCUCUUCUUUUUCCUUUUUGUUUCUCUCUGAACUGUUCCUCCCCAAUCCCAUCGCGCUCUCUCAGCCCAUUUCAGAUCUGUAAGAUUUUCUUUCUCGUUCUCUCUUUCGGUUUUGUAAAUUUGUUUACUUUAUUAGUUAAUUCUUUUCAAUGGGUUACUAUAUUUUCUUAAUUACCUGUUUGUUUACUGGGAAAUUGAGGAAAUUGGGAUGGAAAGUCAUUUGUGCUUUACUAUCUGCACCCGCUCUUUGGUCAAAAUAGUUGAAAAUUCACCUUUGCAUAAUGCUAUUAUAUAGGAAACAGUGAAGGCUUGCUUUUUGUUGGGUAUACAAAAAAUUGUACUGUCUUCAUACAUAUACCAAACAUGCAGGUAGUCAUUUUGACCUGUUUAUUGGGCAAGGAUCUUUCUCUUAAGCGAACAAUAUGACUCGCUGCCUAGCCUGUAACCAGUCAAAUGGUUUCUUGUUUUUGCACUUUCUUUCUUGAUUUGCAGAUUCUUGUUUACACACUUGUGAGUUUAGGUGAGGUCCAAGCACGGCCCUUUCUUGAAAUUUUAGUGUAUGAAUAUGAGCAUGCCAAGUCAUGUGUAUCUCCUUAUUUUUCAAUUUUCAAUUUUUUUUACGUUUGCUUAGUGGGCCGGCGGCAGUGUGUGCUAAAUUGGAUACAUGGUGUUUGCUAGACUUUCACGGAUGACUCUACCAGCAAAAGAAGCAUUAACUUUUGGUGUAUGGAAAAAUAUAUAGCAACAUGAUCAGUGGAAAAACUAUUUUUUAUUCUUUCUGUGGAUAUUCUUACCCAUUAAGUUUAAUAGCUCCUUUUGUUGUUUGAUUCGCAACUGAGGUAGCCAGGUUGCUGUUCAUGAAAGCCAUCACUUAAUUUAGGUGUUUCUGAGUGAUGUUAGUAUUGCUUAGGCAUUGGUUGGUGGCAACCAGGAACCACACGCAAAUUUUUUGUUUGGUGAAGUGUUAAUAAAUUGCUUUAGUACUGUUUAAUCUUCAAUCUUUAUUAGCCGAUUACAAUCUUGCUAGAGGUGUUCAUUGAAAAUAACUUUUUUGAUGAGCUAGGAUUUUGCAAGCCAAAAUUUUAUUGCAAUAUUAGUUUAUUGAAUCAAUCAACACUCAGCAGCUUUGCAAGUCAUGACAUUGUUAAAUUUUGUUUAAACUAUUGCAGGAUCCUGCAUAAAAUCAUUCAAUGUUCACAGUCUAAACAUUUUAGGGCUAUCUUUUAAUGAGUUAGUGCUUGAACUUUAUUCUUCCCUGCCUCAUGGAGAAGGAGGCUUCAACUAAGGAAAAUGUCACAAGUUCUCUGGCUGCUCAGAAGUUGGCUAGAGAUACACUUGAUCUUCAGAAAUCUCAGGGAGGAGAACCAUCAAGGGAGAUUGAAUCUGUGAGUAUCAGCAUUGGUGGUCCCAAGUUAGAGAAUAAUGGAGAAGAUGGAUUGGUUGAAAAAAUGGAUGUGAGCGGUGAUUUGAAAUCUAAAGAGCAGGGUAAAAAGUUAGACAGUAAUCCAAGUCACAGUGGCGUGGGUGAGAAGAUUGAUGAGAGAAUGGAUUUGGAGUCUAAAGCUCAAGAAAAGGAUUCAGACUCAAAUAAGGAACAAAAUGACUCUGGUCAUAAGGUGGCGUCAACAGCUCAAGAAGAAAAAUUACACAAUGAUGGACAUGAUAACUUGGGUAAGAAGACAGAUCAGGGUAAGGAUUUGGAGUCCAAAGCUCAAGAGGAGACAAACCAAACAACAGAUAAAAUUCUUGGAGAGGAGGAGGAGCUAGAGCCAGUCUUUGAUGGAACUGAGGUUCCUGGGAUGGAAGCUAACAGAAGUAUGUCCACCCAUACUUUAGAUCUUGAUUCAGAGACCCAGGGAGUAGUCAAAAAGGCAGUGGCGCUAACAAACCUUGUUAAGAUUAAAGGUGUAGUUGUAGUCUCCACUUUUCUGCGUCGCCUUUCUGGGAAAAGAGAUGAAGACGAACAAGAUGUUCUUGACAAUGCAGAUAAGAAUGCUUCAGAUUCCACUAAAGACAAUGAAGCUGGAGAAGUCUCUCAGAAAACAGUGGAUAGAUCUGCAUGGAAUCCCCUAAGCUUUAUUAGGACAUCCCAAGAUGGUGAUGCAGAAAACAAAGCUGAGCAGAGGGAGGAGGUCAUUGAAGAACCAGCACAAGCUAUAGCCAUAAAGGGAAGAGUUAUACUGUACACGAGAUUAGGAUGCCAGGACUGCAAAGAGGCUAGAUUAUUUUUGUAUAGGAAGAAGCUCAGAUAUGUUGAGAUCAAUAUUGAUGUAUUCCCCAGUAGAAAGCUUGAGUUAGAGAAAAUUGCUGGGUCUUCUUCUGUUCCAAAAGUUUUUUUUAAUGAAGUCCUUAUUGGAGGCUUGAGUGAGCUAAAGGGCUUGAAUGAGUCUGGAAAGUUUGAUGAGAAGAUUGAUUACCUGAUCAGUGAACCACCAUCAUUUGAAGCUCCUUUGCCACCACUUUCGGGUGAAGAUGAUUUGUCCAAUAGUGGAGCUAUUGAUGAACUAGCUUUAAUUGCCCGGAAGAUGAAAGAAUUUGUUAUUGUGAAGGAUCGGUUUUAUAAAAUGCGCAGGUUCACGAACUGUUUUUCAGGUUCAGAAGCGGUGGAUUUCUUAGCAGAGGAUCAGUAUCUGGAAAGGGAAGAGGUUAGUUAGUUUCUUUUCAGUUAUUGGGAAAGCAGUGGUCAUAUGACUUCCAUCUUUCAAUUGGCCAGAUUAUUUUGCAUUUUACAAGGAAUUACUGGGCUUCAUUUUCUUUUAGUUUGUUGGUCGUAAGUCAUGCUUUUGGAUUCUGUCUUAUAUACGUGAAAUUAUUUCAAUUUUUACGUGCGUUGGGUUUACUACAAAUGCAAAAUUAGUUUCCAGUUUAAUCUCAUUAUCAUUAACUCUUCCCUUUUCCUUUUGGUUUGUGUUAUGAGACAGGCAAUUGAAUUUGGGAGAAAGCUUGCAAGCAAACUCUUCUUUCAUCAUGUUCUUGAGUGAGUCCCUUGAAGUUUCCCUUGAAGUGUCUUUAAAUUCUCUUCUGCUUUGUUUCAUUGCUAGAACAGUCUGAGGGAAAGUAGUUCAAAAGAAAUGUGGAGGAAAAAACAUGAAGUGAAAAGUGAGGUCUCAGCUCUCCGUGAUUCAUUGUCUUGUUCAAAAGGACAGUUAGUGGUGGAAGACACAUAUUUUCCUAUAAAAUGCAUGAUAUUUAAGCGAAGAAUUUUAGCUUAUUUUAUAUUAUUUUUUUAAUGCCAAACCAAUUUGCAUCACAUGUAUUAUUCCAUUGUUGACGUUUUCUCCUCUUGUGUUUCUCUAGGGAAAAUCUAUUUGAGGAUGGGAACCACCUGUAUCGGUUCUUGGACGAUGAUCCAAUUGUAUCUCAAUGUCACAACAUCCCAAGGGGUAUAAUUGAUGUGAAGCCAAAGCCCAUCCUAGACAUUUCAUCAAGGUUGAGAUUUUUAUUUUAUGCAAUCCUUGAAGCCUAUGUGUCAGAAGACGGAAAGCAUGUUGAUUACAGAAGUAUCCAUGGAAGUGAGGAAUUUGCAAGGUUUUUCUUUUCUUUUCCUUUUUUGUUUUCCUCAAAUGAGUUCUUUUAACUGCUAUUGGGAAAUGCAGUUUUGUGUCUUGAUAAACUAUUUUUGUUUUUAUAUCUAAGAUAUUGUAGAUGGUAAAUAUCUUUGUAGGUAUCUGAGAAUAGUAGAAGAGCUUCAAAGAGUGGAAGUGAAGGAUAUGCAGAGGGAGGAGAAACUUGCUUUCUUUAUAAAUCUCUACAAUCUGAUGGCCAUCCAUGCAAUAUUGGUAUGGGGUCAUCCAGCUGGAGCAAUUGAACGAAAGAGGUUGUUUGGAGACUUCAAGUAUGUUGUUGGUGGAUCCACAUACUCACUUUCAGCUAUUCAAAAUGGUAUUUUACGGGGAAACCAGCGACCACCAUACAAUCUCAUGAAGCCAUUUGGUGCAAAAGAUAAGCGUUCCAUGGUAAGACGGUACUAAUAUUCUUCAUUAUUGAUAUGGUUUAAACUUAUACCUGGCACAUCCAUCAUGUGUGUGUUUUAAUAGUUAACAGACAGGGUUUUGUGUUUACAUGUACAUGGUUAAACACAUUGUCUUUCCAGAAUUGUAGUCUGCCAGUCAACUCUUAUCUUAUUUCCUAAGAGCUCAGCCUCUUUAUUGUACCUCAUUUUUGCCCCUUUCCAUACCAGGUGACUCUUCCUUACUCAGAGCCUCUUAUUCAUUUUGCGCUGGUUUGUGGUACUCGAUCUGGCCCUGCUCUUCGAUGCUAUUCUCCAGGGGAUAUUGAUAAAGAACUGAUGGAAGCAGCUCGUAAUUUCUUAAGAAAUGGAGGUCUUAUUAUUGAUUUUGAUACCAAGGUUGCAUCAGCUAGUAAGAUUCUUAAAUGGUAAGCUGUUCUAAACAAAGGCUCUAAUUUAUAUUCUUAAUCCCAAAACCUUCCUCCUUAUUGUGUGAUAUUCUGAAACAUUUUUAAUAAUUACCUUGCCUCAUCCAACAACACUUCUUAAUGCUCAGGUUUAGCGUUGAUUUCGGCAAGAAUGAGGUAGAGGUACUGAAGCACUCAUCAAACUACCUCGAGCCGGCUGUCUCAGAAGCUUUACUGGAAUCGCUUGCCAAAUCUCAGCUGAAGGUGAUGUACCAGCCUUAUGACUGGGGUGUGAACUGCUAACGCCAUUAUACCUUUCUUGCAUACCAUAUACAGCUUUAAAUAGCUUCCCUUGUUUUACCAAAGUUUAGCAUAAGUGAAGGGAUGGGGAUACCCUUCAUUAUGGAUAUCUCCAUUUGUAGUUCCAUAGUCACAGCAGGAUGCAUUUUUCGAUAAAUACGUCCGGCAGAUGCAUUGGAGAUGUACUUGGCUCAUACAUGAUGGUCUUGGUUUAAAAUUAAAUUACAAUGUUGCUUAUGUCUUUUAGUUUUUACUCUGAUGUUUUGAUAUGCACUGAUUGCUUAAUAGAACAUUUGUGAAUCCUGCAUUUCCAUGAUCUUUACAGAAGAGAGAAACCCAGGAACAGGUAGCUUUUUAGUGAACAGUUUUAGUUUGUGCAAUGUUGUUUAUAAUGGUCAGAAUGAAUCAUUUCUCGGGAAAUCUUGCAUUCCUGGAUUUUGAGGGAUUAGAUAAAAUUUCAAAUGGUCUAAACAUUGCAUUGCAUUGUCAAAUCCAAUAUUUUUACCCAAAAAAAAUAUAUAUUUUUAAAAAAAGAAAAAACCCUCUACCAAAACUGAUGUUAGGACCUCGGGUGCACGGAUAAAUGCUCUUAACCACUUGAGCUAACAGCCUCUUGCUUUUCCAACCCAAAUUUAGUCUAAUACAAAGCUUAAAACUUAAGAAAAAAAUAUCAAUCUUUGAUUACAGUCAAGGGUCUAGAUCACUUGAAACAACCCCAAAUUGAAAUAUACAUUAUUUAUGCUUACACAAGAUUUCUUCACCAUACAUAUGUCCUAAAGCUGGUGGUAAUUAAAUUUCAGAGUUAUGACUCAUGCAUGAGUCACCUUCCUUGAGCCCUUCAAGCACCCAUCAUUGCCUGCCAAUGCCAUAUACUUGUCUUUCCUUGUGAGUCUGGUGCACCUAAAAUCUAAGGCCCUGCCAAUCUCAUUUUGUACAUAAUUGGCAACUUCAAACCUUGAUUUUCCACCAAGCUUGCAUGUGUUUGAUCCUGGCAGAUUCUCAAGGAACUUGAGGCUAUAAACAGGAUUUGGGUUCAUAAAAUGAAAAACUGGAUCCAAACAUUUGAACCCACUAGCACUUGUGCCAUAAAACAUGUUCACUUUCACAUCUAUGGCCACAGGAACAAUGUCAUCUGUGAGCUCAGCAAACAAUGGACUGAACCUUAACAGAUAAGGCUCUCUGCAUGUGGUUCCUUCUGGGCAAACCACUAGGUCACCUUGGCUCAACAGCUUCUCCAUUUUUUCCCCAUCUCUCUCUCUGUCUCUUGUUAAUCUGACAGUCUUCAUGGGAGCAAUUUUCUCAUUCACUGUGCUUAAGCUGUAAGUGACAGCAGUGAGAGAUUUGUUGGUGGCUAAUUGAACAUAGAGAGGAUCAAGCAAGGUUCUGUGGUUGCAAACAUAGAGUCUGCCUCUUUGUUUUUCUCCUUCACCAUUUGUUGAGGAAAUAGAAGACUUGGGUUUUGAAAUUGUGGUGAUUGUUCCUGUGAAGGCUAAGAUUGGAGUGCAAAUGCUGUGAGGUAGAAAUAUGCCAGAAAGGAAUCUUAGGAUGCAUAGGAAAAUUCCUAGUGGCAUGUACAUGAACAUGGCCAAGGUGGCAAGUUGGGUUGGUUUGAAGGCCAAUCUUCCAUCAUGGAAAAUCAAUGGUUCUGGGUAUUUCUCUCUUGGAAGGCUUUUCCAGCUUUGUUUCUCAGCUUCGGUCACCAAGUAAACCUCCUGAAAAAUAUAUAACAUGGGUAUUGUUAGGAAAAUGUUCAAAACCCAAAAACAGUUUCAAAUAGAGAGAGAGAGACAGAGAGAGAUGAGAGACCAUUGACCAACCUUGCAAUGAGAAAAGAGUUGCUCAUGCAUAUUUUCAUUGUGGCAACCAAUUAUACCAAUUGCUUGAUAAUCUGACUUUUUCUCUCCAAGAAUCAGAUUUGAAUCCAAACUGUUUGUAUUUUUUGCCUCCAUCAAACCCACAAAGUAUCCACCAACCACUUUUAGUUCUCUUGCAACAACAACAUCAACACUAACAUAAUCUUUCAAAAAUCCUCCAACCAUGACUCUAGGCAAGUCACUAAAUCCAACUUUUUUCCCACAUCUCAUCACCACAUCAAACCCUUCACACCCAACAUCCUCCAAAAAGAACUUGGGCAGCACGGAUGUCCCAACUCUCAUUUUUUCCUUCCUAAUUCCAAAAAAGCACAAAAAAACCAUGAUGUUGAGCCCCAGCUCUCCACCAACCAAACAAAUAAAAGGGCUUAAAAGAAACAAAAUUAGAGCCCUCAAAAGCCCACCAGCUUCAAAGGCCACAAGCAUGAAGUAAGGAAACAGGGAAGGUGACUUCAAAAGUGUCUUCUCAAAGUGGAAACAAAUUGCUUUGUUUGAAAGCUCCCUUGCUGAUUGAGCAAGGGAAUUGAAUUUCUGAAAUUUUAAGUGGUUUGCAUGGGGCUUGGUGGCCUCGUAUUCUAGAGGGGAUGUUUCCCUAGGCUUGCUAUGGACUUGGAAGGAAGAGGAAAGAGCUUCUAGUGAGCAUAGGUUUCCAGACAUCUUCGGUUGCUUGCUACUUCUUUUGUUGCAAUCGAUGCACCAAUAUAUUUAUACUUGUUUCGUUCAUUUAUGAUUCUAUCGAAGUUUAGGUAUGGGUUUUCAAUUGACUACAUAUAAGUACACAUGAUAUUUUCAGCACCAAAAAGGCAUAAAGAAUAAAACAUAGAUAUAUUGCUUAAAAUUAGAAAUUGUAUUUUAUUUUUAGUAUUUGUAUUGCAUUAAAGAUCGAAGAUACUGUGGGCUCAUUCUCUCUUCAAAAAUAAAAUUGUGUUCAUUUUGUCCCAUAUUUAUUUUGUAUAUUUCUCUAAUAUUUAGUGACUAAAUUUUCAAUUCACUAAUCUCAUGUCCGAACUCCCACGACAUAUUAAUUGGAUGUGUGUUAAAAAAAAAAAAACACCCCCUUCCUAACUUUCACAACAACUGGAUUAACUUAUUCUAGGCUAGAUCUCCAAUAUAACCAAACAAAUUAUAUUACUUACACAAAACUGUAGUUACACUUUAGCAUGUACAUAUUUUAUCUUAUUGUGACACAUAAAAAUUAUUUUUACACAAUACAAGUGAUAUUUGAGACAUGAAAAUUGAACACAUGAUCUCGAAUGUGUCUCAUGUUGGAAAUGGAAGCUUAGUAUAAAGAGAUUAAAAAAUAUCUUGAGCAUCUCCACUUACUUAUUGACUUUGAAUUGAAUGCUAUCACAUUCUAACAUGAUAAACUUAAAAGAUCUUAUGCCUCUCUCCAUCCUUUGUUAAUUAGUUUUGAGUUGCAAGCUGUUCAUAUUCUAACAAUUGUAUUAUAAUAACCUAAAUUAUUUACUUUUAAAAAACAACAAUAACACUUUAGUACGUACGUAUUUUACAUCACCUAAACAUGUAUCCUAGGUACACGUUAAUAAAACCCUUCCAACUUACCACUAAAUGGUAAUCAACAUUAAAUUUUGAAAUGAUAAUCUUUUCUUGGUUGGUUUGUUGCUUUCUGCGAUGGACCCAAAUUUAUGGAUGAAUAGUUGAUGGACUGAUGGAGUUAUCAUACUGCAAAAACGACAAAAACACGCAUGAGAGAGAGAGAGAGAGAGAGAGAGAGAGAGAGAGAGUUUCUGGGCUCCGAUUAGGGGUGGGCGCGGUCCGGUUCGGUCCGGUUCUCACCUCAAACCGGAACCGAAACCGGUAUUAUUUAACCGGUCCGGUUCGGUCCGGUUUAGGCAAAAAAAAUUUCGAAAACCGGCCGGUUCGGUUCUAACCGGUUCUGACCGGUUCCGGUUUUGAACCGGAUUAUUAAUUUAUUAUUUUUUUAAUUUUUUAAAAAAAAAAAAAUUUUAAAUUUUUUUAAUAAAAAAAUUAUAAUAAAAAACUUAUUUUUUUAGCUUAAAAAUGAACAAAUAAUCCAAUUCAUACAUUUAGAAAUUUUUUGAAGUUGAACUUGGAAAAUUAGUGAUUAUAAAAGUUAAAAAAUGGCAUUAGAUUUUAAAAUUUUGUAAAAAUAUAAAUAUAAAAUAUAUGACCGGUCCGGUUCGGUCCGGUCCGGUGCGGAGAGAUGUAAAACCAGAACCGGAACCGGUUGGAACCGGUUCGGUCCGGUUCCGGUCCCGUUUGUUGACUUUUUUGGCAACCGGUUUUUUUUCCGGUUUUUUUUCACCGGUUCGGUUCGGUGUUCCGAUUUUCCGGUCCCGAUGCCCACCCCUAGCUCCGAUAUGAUCCUAUAUAUAAUGAGUGUGAUGGGUGUUGGUGAGUGGCAGUCCUAAGAUGAAUAACAGUGACCAACAACCACCACCAAAUCAUGAAAUGUCUAAAAUCUAACCGUCCAACAUAAACGUGCCUGCAUGGGCAACCAACCAACACGGCAUGACUAGGAGAGCAUGUUUGAGCAAAUUCAUCACAAUAAUGUACCAACAAUAUAUAUAUAUAUAUAUAGUCCAGUCAACUUGAUCCACGAAUUGUUUCGAUAAUGUAUUGAUACGUGUAAGGUCGCUGUAUUCAACAAUAUCAAUAAUAUCGACCACAUAUUUGCUUUUUUGAAAAGUACAUUUAACUGCAAUAUUAAAAAAUCUAUAUAUGUAUAGUCUAUUUUUUUUAGUACAAAUGAUUGAAGGAGGGACGUUUCUCACACACACUGUCAAAAAGUCAUGAAAAUUCGAAUAUGAAACUAAUAAUACGCAGGUCAAUGUUAUUUUCCUCUAAACUAGACACCGUUGACAAUGUCUAUAUAAUCGUUGCUAUACUAGGAGUAUAGCUGGAAACAAUCAACAUGAGAAAUUGAAAUAUAAGCAAAAGCUUGUAUAUGUUAAAUUUGUAGUUAAUUAGUUAAUUACCAAAAUAUCACUAAUGUGUAAAAACAAGAUUAAUGAAUAUACGAAUUGUUAAGGCAACGAAUUAUUAACAAAGGAACUGACACAAAAAUUGAAGCACUGUUUAUUUGUCAUAGCAAUAUUUGGAAGCUAUAAUUUGUCCAAAAAUAGAAUAAAGGAAAAAUGGAAAGUUUGUCGUUUAGUCUGUAACUCUUUGGUCCCCAUUUCAUCAAAAAAGUAAAAAAUGGAAAGUUUGUGGUAACCCGACAGAACUAUACGUUAAAAUUUACAAAUUAAUCUUUUCAGGUCCUUAAUUUACCCAGAUUAUAUUUUCGCCGAAAAAAAACAAAAAAAAAAAAAAAAAAAAGCAAAACAAAACCUAGAUUAUAUAAGUACAUGAUUUAUGCAUAGUUAUUUCUGUUUUUCGCGAAUUACCUUACAAUUACCCAUAUAAAGCCUAUUUGGAGGGAAAACCCCAAAACUAGCCACUUGUCAUUUUUUAAUUGGUUUUUAGUGUAUUAAAUUUUUUCUAAAACCAAUUAGAAAAUGACAAGUGGCUAAUUUUGGGUUUCUCCCUCCAGAUAGACUUUAUAUGAGUAAUUGUAUAAUAUAUCAUGCUAAAAUGAGUUUAUUGCUAAAAACCUAUGUAAGGAAUGCGUUGACUCGAAUAGGUUGCAAUAUUAAAGAGGGACACUCCUUUCCUCCUUCUAGGAAGGAGGCAUUCCUACUUCCUGCAAAUCACAGUUUGAUACAUAUGCAAAAAUAAUUCAUGAAAACUAAAAAAAGAAAAAUCUUUACACAUAUGUCAAACUAUGAUUGACAUGAAAGUAGGAGUUCCUACUUUCAAGAAAGGAGGCAAGUAUAAAACAUGUCAUUAAAGUUGUUUACUAUACCAUAUAGAUUAAGGGAAGUUAGAUUCUGGAUUCCUAUUGAAGUUGUUUACUAAACCAUAUGGAAUUGGGGUAGGAAUGGUAAUAAUUACUAAAAUGUCCUCAUUAUUGGUUUAAAGUAUAUGGCAAAUUUAGAAUUUUUAAAAUUGUGUGAGGAUAUAAUGAGUUUAAAAGAUGAAUUCUUAUGGCAUGUUUACAAAUUCAUAAUUUGUUAGGAUGAAUUGAAUUGAGGAAGAGGUGGAUUGAGGAGAAUUAGAUUCUGGAUUCCUAUUGAAGUUGUUUAUUAAACCAUAUGGAUUGAAGGAAGUUAGAUUUCGAAUUCCUAUUGAAGUUGUUUACUAAACCAUAUGGAAUUGGGGUAGGAGUGGUAUUAGUUACUAAAACGUCCUCGUUGUUGGGUUAAAGUAGAUGACAAAUUUGGAAUUUUAAAAAUUAUGUGAGGAUAUAAUGGGUAAAAAAGAUGAAUUUCUAAUGAGUUAGUUAUUCAUGAAUUAGAAUACCACCUCCCACUCAAGAAUUGAAUUACUUCCCUAUUUUGUGUGGACCCCUCUUACUUUUCAAUUCCUUGAUGUGAAUGAAUCCUCCAUAGGUGGAAUUCAAUUCCUAAUGAGAAUUUCAAUUACUGAUUAGUAAACACAUCAUUAAUAGGUUAAUUCUUUAGAAAUUAGAAUACCACCUCCUAUCCAAGAAUUGAAUUCCUCACAAAUCAAGAAUUCAAUUUCUAAUUUUGUAUGAGAUCCACUUUUAAAUUCUUAGAUAUAAAAUAAACACAUGAAUCCUCCAUAAUUAAAAUACAAUUCCUAAUUCGAACUCGAAUUCUUGAUUAGUAAAGACAUCAUAUAAAUUUUUCUACCAGAAAAGUGUUCAUGAUGUACCUAAAUACAUUCAUAAGAAUUAUUAGGUACUUUCAUGCCACGUGGUAGGUUAAGUUAUUUUUGUUUGUCUCGUUCAAGUGUGAUAAGCUAUUUGUUUGUCCCGUUAGGCAGGCUUCUUAUUGUGUGUAAAGAGCUAUUUAAUGCCACGCCAGCCAAGCAAUAAAUCAAAAUAAAUAUUUGAUGCUCUCUCUUUUGCAUGUGGCACAGAACAAUAGCUGACCACUACAGUCGCAGUCAACUACCUUUAAUAAAAGCUUGUAUAAUUCAAAAGCAAUUCCUCACAAUCAAAAAGCAGUUUUUCCAUGGCACACUGGAAAUAUGUUGAAUGGAUUUUGUCCAUCACCAGCCGCACAUUUGCUGUUCCAGGUUGCAGAGCUUAUGGUUUACAUUAAGUUUUUCCAUGCCCCGCAAGGUUCUGUUGUUUGGCUUUUCAUAGUUUUUUCUCCAGGACAACGCACCAGUUGGAUUUGUCAAAAAAUCUGUCAACAAUUACAGCAUUAUCAAUACCAGCUACCAACCUGCAUUUUAAGACAGCAAUAAGUAAAUGAGCUGAAAAAGUAGGACAUCACUUAAAAGUUAGAUUGUCAGAACAUUAAGAACUGACCCCGUAAAUUUAAUAUCCCUCCAGUUAGGUUUUUGCUUAGUUUUUAGGUAUGCUCUUCUAUCUUUCCUCUUCCUCAUCUCUUUUGCCUAUCUUCUUUCUCUCUCUCAUUUAUCUUCUUCCUCUCUACUUUCUCCCUUUUCUCUCCUCUCCUUAAUUAAAAAAAUUGCAGGAAAAAAAAAAACAAAAAGCUACCAAACAAAAGCUCUUCUUUGGCAGUUUCUUUUUAUUUAUUGCCUUAUUUUGGCAUUCGAAAGAUAUACAAGUCUGAACCUAAUCUCUUAAAGUCUCCUAUCUUUAAAGCAACUGGGCAUCAGUGAGAAGCUAACUUAAAGUAACUACAACCUCCAACUUUUUUGAAUUUCUUAACCACUGCCAUCAAAGGAUUCUGCUCUAACUUAGAGGGUGGCCUACCAUCAUGAUUGAGCCUCGUCUCCCACAGGGAAGGCUGGUCCACUGUGAAAGUUGGCCUCCUUACCUUUGCCAUGAAUGGUUUUGUUACCCAAUUGCAGUGUUAAGUACGACAAUAUGACAGUAGAAUGCGACUUCGAGCCACUGCAUCCCUAAUCAUAUAAGCAGUAGCUCACCUUUCAGGCACAAAGUUAACAAGUUGGGCAACAUGUUAGCCCCACAGAUGAAUAAGUUUAUAAGCCAAGUUUCAUAACUUUGUACGUCUAUUUAAGUACCUAUCACCCCAAUUCUUACCUGUUUUCUACAUUAGAAGCACCUUUAAGAAAUCAAAAUAUAUAUAUAUAUAUAUAUAUAUUUUUUUUUAAAGAGUGAAAAAUUUGGACCAUUUCUUGAUUCAUAGGUGUCAUCACAACAACUCCUACAAUUCCAACACAUCAAGUACUGCUCUAAACGAUCCAGCUGUGAUAAGAAAUCCAUAUGCAUAGAUGCAUCAAAAUUCUGUCCUAAUAGGCACUAGAUGUGUAUAAGAUUAGGUAAAUGAAAAAUUUACACACAAAUGCAAAAUUCUGUCCUAAUAGGCACUAGACAUGUCUUAAUUUGGAAAAGCAUUAACUGAUUGGAACACAGAGCAAAUGGAAAAUAUUACAAAUGGAAACAGAAAGAAAAUGACACGUUACCUUUCAAGCUCGCCUUCACUGAAAACAUGGUAGUAUCUGUUAUAGACUACGGCACCCUUUUUAUCAUCUUUCUUUGCAAGGCCAUUUGCAAGAGCACAAGCAGAAGCACCACUUACUUCAGCACGAUGAUAUGGUAAGUGCCAGGGGACGAAAUAUUCUUGUUGAUUAUUUGCAUUUUUUACAUCAGUAGAAGCCCCUGAAUAACUUUCAGUUUGAGAGGUUAUUUCCUGCAAACUCUGCAUAGAACUCUCGCCAGAAUCUUGCUUACGCUCUCCAAAACCAUUCUCCUCUGUUUCUGGAAUGCUUUCCAAUGUGCAGGAUGAAGGGCUACGAACACGUGGACUACCAGGUCCUAUCCACUCUUCCCCAUACUUUUGGGUAAGUGGAGUCCAUUUGGCAAGUAGUGAUUUAUCUUCUUGUUCUACAGCCCAAACUGUUAUUAGAACUAGGCCACCCUUUUUCACAACUCGGAUCAACUCUUCUAUUGCCUUUUUCCUCCUACCCUGUGUACUUAGAUGAUGUAAUACAGCUAUAGAGAUAGCCGCAUCACCAAAACCAGUUCUAUAUGGCAGAUCUACAGCGUCUGCAACCAACACUUCAUGCCCUCUAUCUGCACAAAUUUUGAUAAGAGGGGCACUUAUAUCACAUCCGAUGAAAAAACAAUCAGGAUUAAAUCCCAAGUACUUCCCAUUCCCACAUCCUGCAUCCAGGACAAGAGAUCCUGAAGGUAAGGAAGAUAAAAAAUUGGCUACUUUUGGCCACUUAGCAAACCGGGUAGAACUGAAAUGGGGCGCGAUAGCAUCAUAAACAUGAUGAACAUACUUCUUUUCAAUUUCAGGAGUGAAUUGCACGUUCAAGGAUGAAUUUCUCUGGCUGUCACUAGCUAAUUCAGAUUGUAGGAUGUGAGAUUCUCCAUUGGAAUCAAGAGUACACGAACUAGACACACCUUUUACCUUGACUUCUCUCAUAGUACUGAAGAUUCCUGAAUAAGAAACACUACCAAUUAUUACAGUGGGAAGAUGGAAGGCCUUACUAGACAGAUAAAAGCUUCUACUUGCUCUUAGAACAUUACAAAACAUCACCUGGAACACUGUAUCUAAUCACAAAUGACCUGAAAAAAAAAAAAAAAAAAACAAUGGCUAAGGUCAUAAUUUGAAACACACAAUUUCAAGAUCCUUACGUAGGCCAAAGAACCAUAACAGUAUAUAUGUAUGUGUAUCCUAUAACGGAAAUCCAAUGAAGAGUAAAAAGGAGAAUUUUUUUUUGGGAAAAGCAGAAAAAAUUGUUUAUAGGAGGCCCAAACUAGUACAUUUUAGCUUUUAUUCAAGCAACCGAACCAAAUUAGCAGGGAGAUGAGCAACACAAAUUUCCCUGGUGUCUAAGUUAUUGACAAGCUGGACGAGGUUCAAAGAUGUUUUGCUUUCCAGAAAACAAGGGCCUAAUUACAGUCUAUCAGGAAGGAACUCCAACCAGUUCUUAAGGGGAAAAAACUAUAACCAGUGUGUCCAGGAAUUAUAUCGAACAGCUCGCUACGGCAGCUUCUCUAUUUUGACAAAUCAUGGCCCCUGAGAAUUACAAUCUGGGAUCCCUAAAUGCAUAAAAAUCCUAAUGUCUAUGCAUUUUGUUGAAUACAGUUUCAAUCUUUUCCUUUCUUUAUUUUCGUGCCACUACUGUCCAUAUUGAUUGAAGAGUGAAAUGUGUAUGAUUGUGGUUGUCCUACUUUCCUAAGCUUCUUGUUUUGGGAGGUGACUUUGAUCAAUUAGCAACUUCAAUCACAAACCCAACUUUUCAUUACCAAAUUCAGUGUCUGCUGUUAUCAUAUGAAUUUAGGUGUUUCAAAAAUUAUGGAGAGUAACAUAAUCUUUUAUUUAUGUUUUGGUUUGGUCAAUGGAGAUUAACAGAGUUUUUCACAAUACAAAUAUCCAGAACAAACAUAUAUACUGAAAGUCAGCUUAACCACAACUUACAUACAUAGAUACAUACAUGAAUACGUAUAUAUAUAUAUAUAUAUAUAUAGAGAGAGAGAGAGAGAGAGAGAGAAGUGCAGUUGACCUGAUCCAGCAGAAAUGACUGCAGUGAGGGUCAAAAGCUGCUUUUUUUAAAAGCGAGGAGCUGAAGAUGUUCGUUAACCAGCGGUUAAUCCAAUCCGAAUGAUAUGGAUUGCUUCCCUUUUGCUUGUCUUGUGUUGAAUUAGGGUUUUUCAGAGAGGGAGAGAGACGAAAGAGGGGCAGUGAGAAAUUGAUAAUUAAAAUAGAUAUGACGUGAACAAGCGUAGGGUAAACAUACUGAGCUCCACCAUACUGACCGUCCAUUUGCCAUGUUUUGACCCGCGGAUCAUGCCACGUCAUUUCAUAAUGAAAUAGAUGAUAAAAUUUGGGUACUGAUUUUCUCACUCCCCUUUUAUCCACUUACACUCCAUUUAAAAAAAAAAUCUAUGUUCUCACUCCUCUUUUGUUCACUUACACUCCCUUUUAUUUUAUAAUAAAAAAUAUUAAAAAAACAAAAGGGAGUGUAUGUGGAUAAAAUGGGAGUGAGAAAAUCACUACCCUAAAAUUUUAGGAUCUUAGAAUUUAUAAAUCUUUUUUUUUUCCUGUAAGUUUUAAAUCUUUUAAGUUUUUAGAAUAGCAUAAGGAAAGUGAAUAUGAAGUAUCCUAAGUUGUAGUUCUGAUCUCUUGAAUUACAGGGUCCAAGAGAUUUGUGAUCACUUACCGUUGGAUGUAAAUUUAACGGUUCACUCACUCUUGCAUUCCUUUAAAUUUUUUUUUUAAAACAAUUGGAUUAAUAUCCAAUGAUGAAUGACCACAAUCUCUUGGACUCCUGUGGUCCAAGAGAUCGGGACUGUCUUAAGUUGUGAGAAAUUGUUGAGUACAACGGUGAUAAUGUCGAGUAGUGUGACUAAUUUACGUAUUAUAAUAUAAGCGAAUGACAUAAUUGAUUUUUCAUUAAACUAUAGAAUAUACCCCAUAAGCAAAUUGGUAACACCACCUUAACUUGUUUCGUUAAUUCUAUCGAAAUGCUUUUAAUUAGUUGCUGCCAAAUUUGCUUCAACAACUUUCCUUUUCGUGCUUAUGUGAGUGCCCCAAAUUCCAAUAAUUCAUGAAUGGCUGACCUUUCUAAGAAAUUUGAUAGCAAUUCACAGAGGUCUCAAAUUUCUUGCAGCAUAUUCCUGGUAAAUGAAACCCAUCUACACAGCUGGAGACAUUGUGUUUACUUUGAGGGUCCAACUUUAAUUGUAUGGUUUUUUUUUUUCUGUCUAUGGUGCUGUAGGUGUCAAAGGAAAGUCCCUCCACUAUCUGCUGAUGCUGAUUGAGCCUUCGGAGUUUGGUGAAGAUGAGAACUUUCCAAGUCCAGAUGGUGUGGAAUUCCACACCAGAAGAUUCAAAUUCAUUCAAAUUUCUCUCAACUUUACCUGCAUUGCAGGACUACUUGCUAUGAAAUUUACUCGUCGAGUCAAGGUACUAUUUUCUUGUAAAACAAUCUUACCUAAAGACUAUGAAGAGGCUCCACAUAUUAAAGAUGCUUCUCAAGUGUGUACGUUUCCUUUACUUCUCGAGGCUAUGCUAAAUGCUUUAGUUUGAGCAAAGUACUAGUCAUUUAUUAUCAUUAUCGAAAAUAAUGUUCAAGCCAAAUGUUCCACGACUCCUCCAAAUUACUGACAGGUUCUGUAGCAGCCAAGUCAGUCCCCACAACAUCGUAAGUAUAAAUUUUUUUGUGUAACGUAAAUGGCUUCUGGUUUUGAUAUAUAUCAAGGUACUGUACAAGCUAGAUUCCAACUAACAUGUGGCCCCAUGACUUUUCUUUGUGUUUGGAGCUUUUUGUAGACAUUAUAUUGUAGGGUUAAUUACUGUAGACGUCUUUAAAUUUGGUUUUUAUUUGCAAUUUGGUCCGUUAAUUUUUUUUUCCAGCAAUUACAUCCGUUAACUAGAUAAAUAGUUCUAAUUGGGUCAUGUCGUCCAAUUUUGUCAAUUUAUCUGUCAAAAUUAGAGGUAAAAGCGUUCUUUCAAUUAACAUAGAUGAACUGCUCAUUCUUCUAGAAUUAUUAACUGUGCUGGAGAAAAUGUAAAUUUAAAACACAAAAAAUAAUAACAAGAACAAACAUAUCUUAAAGAAUAAAAUAACAAAAAAUUCAAAAAAAAUAAAACCUAGAACAAGAACAGUCGCACCAAACCAUCUUCCCCAACCUCCCUUCCCCAUACCCACAGAUAUUGCGACUCCUCGUCCUCCGUCGUUGACAACGACGCUGAUUGCGUCAUAACGUCGUCGUUUCAGAGUCUCUCCUUUGCCGUUGGACCAUAUCCACCAUUGCCAUUGGCAGCCAUGAAAGGCAAGCAAAUAUUCUAUUAACUUGGACUUUGAGAAGAAGACCCAUGUGAAUUGCUUUAUUUCUCAAAAAAAAAAAAAAACACAUAUGAAUCCAAGCCAUUAACCUUCAGUGCAAAGUUGUCAGGCUUCUCUCUCUUUCCCCUAAAAUUGAUCAAGACAGCCCACCCUAAAACCCAGCUGGAUUUGGGGGUGGGUUGGGGUCGUAAGAGAAAAUAGCCACAAAAUAGCAAUUACUGUAUCUCCAGAUUGGUAGAUUUUGGAGAGAACAGGGUGGUCCAUCGUGUUUGUAAUUUGUGAAGUGUGUUUAAUUGAUAUUAAACAUUUGGGAUUUGCUGGAGUUUUAAUAUGAAAGCUUCAUGUUCAUUGAACCCUAAACCCUAAACGCUGGAUUAUCUAGUGAAGGAGACUCUUGGAAUUGAAAGGACGCUUUUACCCUGAUUUUGACAGAUAAAUUGACAGAAUUGGAUGACAUGACCAAAUCGGAACUAUUUAUCGAGUUAACGGAUGUAAUUGCUGAAAAAAAAAGUUCACGAACCCAAUUGCAAAUGAGGGCCAAAUUCAGGGACGUCUACAUUAAUUAACCCUAUAUUGUAAUUCCAUACCAAUCGAUUUGGAAAAAAUGGUACGUUCAGGAAAACUUAUGUACAAGUUCAUUGUAUCGAGACAUCCAAAGACAUCAUUGUCCAAGAAGCUGUAUCGAAAAUAAUGCAAACAAUCAUGAUCCUGAUGGCUGUCACGAGUAGCUUCAUUUUACGUUUGUUUGCAUCUGGGAACUAGCUUAGAAAUGAUCUGAGGUGCUGAAGGCUUUUUAAGGGCUAUGUGGCAUGUUUAUUGUGUGUGGAAACUCACCCUCGAGCUCGACUAUAUAUAUUGUUGUUAAUGCAGUUCGUAGUACCAUACUCGAAUAUACCACUGUUCCUCUGUGUUGAUAUUCAUAUCGCUACAACAAAUGAUGCAUUAUCUUCAACUGUCAUCACGUAUUUGCAUGCCUUCUUGCAUUUCAUCACAAUCUAAAACCAUCUGGACCAGGUUAUACAUUGUUAAUAGAUGCAUAAAUUGUUCACUGAUGUUUUCUUUUGUUUCUUUGGGGCCAUGUUUUAUGUAAUGAACUCAUUUAGUUGCAUUAUUGUUUUAUGGAUUAUUUACAGUUCAACGUCUGGAAAUGAGAUGAGAGUUGGUAAGUUAUUACAAUCUCAAAACUUUACUCAUAAUUUCUGCAACUUGGAAGAUGUUGGUGUACUAAUAUGUUCAUGUUAUCGACAUCGUUAUGGAAAAUUGUUUUCAUGUGUCACAAAUGACUAAGCAACUAAUAAGCAAUGCAAUGCAAUCACAGGUCACUGCACAAAAGUCUCACGCAGUGUCAAUAUGGAGAACCUGCAAAAUGAAUAUCUCUUUCCGGAGGUCAGCAGCUUCUGAUAUCUUGAUUAUGAACUUUGGCCCUCCUAUCACUUUAUAUCGUGCAGUUUGUCUCAAACUAAUUGUCUGGAUUGGUGUUCCAUAAACCCCAAUUGUUUUAAGAUUUCUUGUUUUGGAAUGGGAAUUUACAGCAUCCUCAUGAGUAGGAUCAAACCUUAUUCCACCUGGUUGGAACUUGGAACUCUUGUUACUUGAGAUAACAAAAUUAUCUUUUGGUUGUGUGAUAUAACCAGUUGAGUGCUAAUUUUUCUACAUACCUUAUGGCCGCUUAUCCAGAUAUUCAUGCGCGAGUUUGUGCAUACUCAGAAGUACCCACAUGCAAGAUUAAUAAGACUUGGUGUUGGUAAUACUACAGAACCUAUACCAGACAUAAUCACAUCUUCUAUGGCUGAGGUAAUUUUGUGGAUCUCAGAUUGUUGUACGUAAUUUUUUCAUCUGAAUACAAUUUGAAUCUAAAACCUUUUCAAACAGCACCAUGCCUUACCACUUGAGCGAAUACCUGAAAACACAAUUACAAAUAAUAGUAUGCUGGUCCUGUUUGAUAUUACUUUCCAGUUGAACUGUUCUUUUAUUUUUAUCAUUAGUUUCCAUUUCCACUAUAAUCCAAUAUUUGGGAAAAUAGUGACGAGUGCAUGUCUUCAUCGUAUACGUCUUCUCUUUAUAACCUACUUGUAGAUGUAGAGAUAUAGAACUCUUUGGUGUAUGCAAGCCUCUUUGGCAGCGGAUCUUCACUAGCUUUUCUUCACCCAUUAGGACUGUUUCGUUUAAUUUCUUUUACUUUUUUGCUUUCUGUUUAUUUCUUUGUUGGAGUUGAAAGAAGCAGAGAGAGAGAACAAAAACUUGGAAUUUUCUUUUCUUGACGACUAAGUUGUACUGAUCUAUUUUUUUUCAUUUGGUUUCUUGUCGACGAUGAAUAUUAAGCUCGUGUUUCUGUGCCUACUUUGCAGCAUGCACAUGCUCUAUCAACAGUUCAAGGUUACAGAGGGUAUGGAGCUGAGCAAGGCCACAUGGUACGAUGGAAUCUUUGGUGUUCAUUCUGAUUUUUAUUCUUUUUAUUCUUUCUUCUCCCUUAACCACAAUUCCCCACCUUAUUUUCUGCGUCGCCUGGGUGCCGCCGCCCUCAUUCACGACAUUGAUUUUGAAUCUGGACUUGCACACCCCUUUAAGUCAUGUCAAUGGUUGAUGAAGUCAAAUUGUGAACCACAUGUCUAUACGUGUCUUGGAUGAUACUGUUGUCAGUCUCACUCCAAUUACAUGGGUGCCGCCCUCAUUCAAGACAUUGAUUUUGAAUCUGGACUUACUCACCCUUUAAGUUAGGGCUCGUCAAUGGGCCGGGCCGGGCUAGCUCGGCACAAAUUUAAUGGGUUUGGGCCGGGUCGAGUUGGGCUUUAAAGAGGAGAGAGAAAAUACCGGGCCGAGUCAGAUUUUUUUAGAAAAUUCAAAGCCCAAGCCCAACCCAUGGGCUGGGCCAGGCCGAAACCAGCCUACUUCAUUCGAAAAAAAUCAUAAACUUAAUCAUAAGGGCAUUUUAGUCCAAAUUUGAGAUAAAUCUCACUUAAUUCCAAUAUUUUCAUAUUAAACCAAAUUCAUAAUAAAGUCACACAACUUAAUAAGAUUUUCCACAAAAAUAAUAAUAUGAAGUAUUAUUUUUGAGGUUAUUACAUAAUUAGACCGUAAUACGUUUUAAGAAAUAAUUUUAAAAAAUAAUAAGUAUCAAAAAGAUAUUUUUUUUAAAGGAUGUUAUGAAUAAAUAUGCAAAUGUUUGGUGAUGUGUUCAAGAAAAGCAUGAUCAUAUUUGGUGGUACGAUUAUGUUUCGUGAUAUGAUUAUAUUUGGUGAUAUGAUAUGUUGUUCAUCUUAUUUAUAUAUAUAAUUGUUGUAUUAAUAAUUGACAUAAAUUAAUGUGCUAAUCAUCCAAUUAUAAACUAUGAAUGAGUAAAGAAAAGUAAAUGAAAUGAAACAAAUUAUACAUGUGAUUUAAGUGAUAUAAUCAUAAUCCUAAACUCUUAUUUAUACAUAAUUAUAUAUGUAUGCGGGCCUAACGGGCAGGGCUUUUGUGGGCGGGCAGGGCCGGACUUUCUUGGGCUUAAUCGGUUCGAGCCGAGCUUCAGACAACCAAGCCCAAGCCUAGCCCAGCCCAAGGCAAGCCAGGCCAUCUCGAAGCCCAUAACGGGCCAGAUCGAACUUUUUUCGAAUGGGCCGGGCGGGCCUCCAUCGACCCAUGAGCCUGCGGGCCAAAUGAUGAGGCCUACUUAAAAGUAGCAUGUCACUGGUUGAUGAAGUCAAAUUGUGAACCACAUAUGUCUAUUUGGACUUCCAUAUAUAGUGUGGCCCUCAAAAAAUUUGUUAGAGCGUUUGUUUUAUUUUUUAUUUUUAUAUUAGGCGAGGCGUACUUGUGGAUGUUUGCCUUUUGGUAUCCUAUUUAAAUAGGGAACUCAAAAACUUUGAUUUUUUAAAAAAACAAUGAGUUCUUAAAUCUAUUUUUAAGAUUUAAAAACUUGUUUGGUAUGCAACUUGGAAACUGUCUUCAAAUCUUAAAAUUUUGAGAACUUGUGGGUUGUUGGAAAAAGACUGAAAAACAGAUAUUUUUUGUUUUUAAUAAUUGAGGUGUUUUAUAGUUGUUCUUGAGUUUGAGUUUUUAAAAACAGGUUUUCUUUGUUUUAGACUCAAUUUCUGUUUUUGAGCUUAAAAAGUUAGAUUCAAGUUAAAUAUCAAACAUGCCCUUGGUUUCCUCUUGGGAAAAUAACAUCUCUAAUUGAGCUGGUAGAGUGCCUUGCUGCGAUGGAUACCUCUUCACUCUAAGAAAGUCAUCAACAUACAAUCUGGAAGCAACUAUUCUGCUUGUAGGAAAGCUUAAUGGGUGUGUAAUGGUCACACUUUGGUCUCUGCUUAUUAUUUCAGAGAAUCAUUUUGGGAAGGAUACUAUAAAUUAGGAUCAACUAUACCUUACAACUCCCGUAGUUUGAGUAAAAUUUCAUGUUGGUCAUGAUGUUUCUGCAGUUGCCAUUCUUCUCCAAGAUUAUUAUUAUUUUGUCCAUCUACCUAUUUUUAUUUAACAGAGGUUAUCAAAUUUUGGUGCAGGAAUUAAGAAGGGCAAUUGCAGAAAAAUUCUACAACAAUAUGGGCAUAGAAGGCGACGAGGUUUUUGUAUCAGAUGGUGCACAGUGCGACAUUUCUCGCCUUCAGGUACGAAAACUUCGUUUAUGCAGUAAAGCUUUUCAUAAUUGGAUAAGAGUAGAACAAGAUAAAGAUCUGUUACCAUUUAGGUUGCUUUUAAGAUGAAAAGCGUGUUAUUAAUUCUGACUUUUCCCCCAAGCAGAUGCUUCUGGGAUCCAACGUGACAGUAGCUGUGCAAGACCCUUCGUUUCCGGUAAAUAUAAAUCAAAUCAAAUAUAUCUUGGAAUACUAAAUUAAAGCUACAUGCAUCCAUUAUUUUCCCAUUGAAUUUUUUUGCUAGGAACCUUAUUGAUUUACUAUGUUUUGGAACAGGCAUAUAUAGAUUCUACUGUCAUUGCUGGUCGCGCUGGCAGGUUUCAAGAGGAAACUGGGAAGUAUAAGAACAUUGUGUACCUGAACUGCAGCCCUCAGAAUAAUUUUUUUCCUGAUCUAUCAACUGCUUCAAGGGCGGAUAUCAUAUUUUUCUGCUCUCCGAACAAUCCAACUGGCAGUGCUGCAUCACAGCAGCAACUAAAGCAACUGGUGGAGUUUGCAAAAGCAAACGGAUCAAUAAUUGUUUAUGACUCCUCCUAUGCUGCUUAUAUAUCUGAUGACAGCCCGAGAUCGAUUUAUGAAAUUCCUGGGGCCAGAGAGGUUUCUCACUAGUUCCCACCACCAUAUAUCAUUUUGUGUUUAACAAUACAAAACCUUCUUGUUAAACUUGACAUACAAAGGGAUUCUCACUGGAAGUUGUUUUGGCCAAUUUUGUGUGCAGGUUGCAAUUGAAGUUUCAUCCUUCUCCAAAUUUGCUGGGUUCACAGGGGUCCGCCUCGGAUGGACAGUUGUCCCUGAUGAGUUGUUGUAUGCAAACGGAUUUCCUGUCAUAAAGGACUAUAACCGCAUAGUGUGCACCUGCUUCAAUGGUGCAUCAAAUAUUGCCCAGGCUGGAGGGCUGGCAUGCCUUUCUGCAGAAGGUUACCAGGUUAUAAUUUACACCCCAUUUCUUUUCCAAGCAUGCAUUUCUAGUAAGUUAAAAUCCAAUGCAGUUUCAAAUUUUUACUGUUUGUAAGUUGUGCUUUUUAUAUUUUCAGGCCAUAACCACAGUGGUUGACUACUACAAAGAAAAUGCAAAAAUAAUUGUGGACACAUUCAGAUCACUUGGGUUGAAGGUGUAUGGUGGCAAAAAUGCACCUUAUAUAUGGGUACAUUUUCCAGGGUUGAGUUCUUGGGAUGUAUUCAAUGAAAUUCUUGAAAAGACAGACAUAGUGACCAUACCAGGAAAGGGAUUUGGUCCUGGAGGUGAAGAGUACAUCAGAGUUGGUGCUUUUGCUCACAGGGAAAGUAUAUUGGAAGCUUCAAAAAGGCUAAAAACUCUUUUUUAACUUGAAUUAUUUCAUAAAUAUUUGAACCCAGUCGACAGGUACUUAUAGCAAGAAUGACCAUCUUCCUGGAGAGCUUUAUUGGUUCAUGAGAUGAAUUAGGAUUGGACAAUUAUUUGGUGCUGAUAAGGAAAAAUCUAAAUUGAACUGUAUUGCAUUGUUCAUAAGAUUUGUUUCUUCUCAGCCCAUUAUUGGUUGUGACUUGAAUAAAUUGUAUUUGUCCUCAUUUCAACAUGGCAUCUUGAACCUUCUGGCCUUCUUUCUUUUUAUAGUUUCUUGCACUCUCCAGAUGAUGAUUGAAUUAUUUACAAAAGUUACAAUUUAUAUUUGUUAAAAUUUGUACUUUGACCAGCUGACAUGAUUUCAUGUUACAAACACGAACAGAAAAAUUAAGUGGUUAGUUGGUUGCAAUGAAAAUAGGGUUUUUAGGUUCAAUGGUCUCUGAAUUUUCACAUGAUUCGCAUUUUGAUUCCUCAAUUUUCAAAAUCGUUCCGAUGGUCCUUCAACUUUAGUUUUAUCAGGACAAAUGGUCAUGCCAUCAUUUUUGUUAACUUUUUUAUGUUAAAUUCAGGGACAAAAUGUUUUUUUUUUUUUUUUGUAUUAUUUGUAAUGUCCACCAUAUGAAUAUUCCAACAAAGUUAUGGACAACCUCCACCAAACAUCAAGCCAAUUAACCCACCAUCUCGACAACAACUGAUGGUGCUCCCCCAACCCACACCAUACCCACCCUCCCUGCGAUGACGAGGAUAGGAAGAAAGUUUUUCAGUUUUAUUUUUUGGGUGAAAGGAAUAUUCACACGGUGGAAAUUAAAAAUAAUACAAAUAUACCAUUUUACCCUCACAUUUAACAAAAUUGACGGCAUGACCAUUUGUUCUAACAAAAGUGAAGUUAAAGGACCACGAGAAUGAUUUUGGAAACUGAAGGGCCAAAAUGUGAAUCAGGUCAAAGUUUAGGGACCAUUAGACCUAAAAACCCAUGAAAAUAUUAAGAAAUGAAAUCAUUCAUUAAAGAGUUAUUUAUAUAAACACAUCCAUGAGGUUUUAGUGUUUUCACAAACCCCCACAAGGUUUCUAAAAUUACAUGAACACCCCCUUUGAGAUUUUAAUUUGUUUUAACAAAACCCACUUUCAUUGAUUCUUCAUCCAAAAUUUGAUGAUUUCUUACAUAAAAACUUUUGUAAAUAACAAAUGAACCUCAAUGAAUGUAUAAAAACUUGUGAGAUUUCAAUUAGCCAACUCAUUUUAUCUUUCUUGAUACUAAAAUUUAUUAUUAUUAAAGUUCUUAAUUGUAAAUUGCCAACAACAAAAAAAAGACCAAAUUUUUUUUUUAAUGGAAAAAACAGAAACCUUACAAACGGAAGCUACGAGAGCAUGCAGGCCCAACUAAAUCAAAAUAAAACAGAGCAGAGCAACCUAAAGGAAUCCCUCGCUCCCAAAGGUGGGAAGGGUUCAGAGAAUGACCUAAAUUAGCUAAAGCGUCGGCAGUGAAGUUAGCUUUCCGGAAGAUAUGCUGGAAGGAAAUCUCUUCGCAGUAAGAACUUAACAGCCUUAUAUCUUGUACUAUGAGAUGAAUACUCCAAGGAACUAAAACUUUGUUGUUAAUACAGUCAAUAAUGGGUUUGGAAUCUCCUUCAGCUAAAACUUUGCGCCAACCAUUGUGGAUUGCAUGGGCGAGACCAUCACGAAGCUCCAAACAUUCCGUAACAUUUAUCGAAAUGUGACCCGAAUUCUUAGCUCCGGCAAGCCAAACAUUACCAUUCCAGUCCCGAAUAACGAAACCAAUGGCAGCUAGGUUACCACACAUCGAGCCAUCAAAGUUCAAUUUAAUCCAAUCGAGGGGUGGUGGUUUCCAUUUAAUGGCAAGCUCACCUUUGGACUUCUGAGAAUGAGUGAAAUUGAUUUUCCAAUAGACUAGUCCAAUUUGACCUGCAGCAUUAAGGAUUGUAACCGGAUGAGGGCCAAUGUCUUUAAACACACAAUUGUUCCGAGCCUCCCAAAUUUACAAACAGAGAAGAAGGGCUUUGGAAAGAAUAUUUGGGCCAUCCUUAUCCUUCGUGUGAGGGAGAGCAGCUAGCCAUUCUAUACCAUCAAAAUUUUGCUGGGUAGGCGUAGGGAUUAUUGAGGUACACCUCCAUAUGUUGACUGUGAACUGACAUUCAAAUAAUAAGGGGCUAACGACAAAAGACAUCUUGCAUGUUUGGGGUGGUUUUCAAUAUGGACCACAAGAUAUCAAUUUUAUCAAUUUACACUCUUAUGUUUGCAACAUUGUCUAAUUUCAUCCUUCCGUUAAGUUGACCAUGUGGUCAAUUGUUAAAUGCUGACAUGUCUACUGUAGGACCCACCUACUAACCAACCAAUUCUUAAAUUUUUUUUAUAUAAAAUGAUAAAAACAUAUAAUUAAACAAAAACUAAAUAUUUAAAAAAAAUUAAAAAAAAAAACCAGACGCACAGCGGCACUCCGUCUCUUUCUCCCCGAUCCCACCUUCUCGAGUUCUCCGAUUCUCUCCAACCCCCUCCCCGCCGCCUGUCCUCACUGAAACCAAGUCCAUCACUCCUCUCCUUCCGUUCCGCCAUCCCUCUUCCUCAUCCCCACCCCACCUCAAGGGAUUGAUAGUUUCUGUGCAUGGAUGAAAUGGAUAUCGAACGUCUUGGGCAAAGAGUGAGAUGUGUAUUGUGUUUUGAUGAAGAGGAUGGCCAUGGAUGCCAUUGAAAAUUUGAACUAAGGCUUGUUCUUUUUUAUCUCUGGCUGUGCUCAAAGUUCAAAUAAUCAUAUUUUUUAUUUUUUAUUUUGUAAAACAAAGUAGCAGAUUUGAUUUAGUGCUGGAAAUCUAGGCGUCAUCCAUCAAGUUGACAAAGCAGUGGCGUUGAUUUGAGAGAUGGAGUGGAUGCAUCUUUUGCCAUAGAUGAGAGUUGCCUUAUCAUCUUCCAGAUUUCAAAUUUGUUCAUUAAUCUCAGCCACUUCUUAAUCUCUUGACUAGGAGGGAAAAGAUCGAAUCUUUGUGAAAUUCAAAGCCUUAGGAUUGUCCCCUAUAUCAAAAUUGAAAGCCCUAGGAUUAUCCUCUCUCUGUCUCUGCAACUUUUCAAAAAUUUCACAAAACCAAAAUCACAUAAAAAUCAAAACCGUAACAUUCCUGCAACCUGUUCGAAUCCAAAAGUUCAGAGACGGCAGACGAGCAGUAGAUGGGGGAGUUAUGCUUCGGAGAGGAGGUGCAGGUGGCUGGACGUGUCGAAGGGUGAGGGUGGAUGGGGUUAGAGAGCUGGGAGGAGGAGGGACGAAGAGAAGGAGAUUAUUAUUAUUUUUAUGUUAGUUUAUUAUAUUAUAUAAUUUUUUGAAAGGAUUUAUAGGUUCCACAAUGAACACGUCAUCAGUUAACGUCUGACCAAACAGUCAACUUAGCGGAAAGCUGGUCAGAUUUGAAAAUUCUGUGGUGUAAAUUGAUGAAAUUGAAAUUCAGAGGUCCAUAUUGAGAAUGACCUCAAAUCUUCAGGGAGUCUUUUGACAUUAGCACAAGAAUAAAUAGUUAAUACUCUACCAAAAAAAAAAAAAAAAAUCAAUUGUCAGGGGCGAGAGUAUAUACCUCUUUGAUAUAUAGGAAGAGCUAAAACAAAGCUCCAAUUGUAACAUCCCGACCCAAAACAUAAUCUUCCAUUAAUUUAAUUUAUUUUAAUAAAAUUUGAAUUUCCAAUUUUGCCUUCGGGGUAGGGGUAAUUUGAUCAUUUUUUAACCCGAACAAAUUUUGGGGCAGUGAGUGGUAUUUUUACGUAGAUAGUACCAAAAUGAGUCCGUAGACACGUAGUGGACUCGAAUCGGAGUUGUAACGAAAAAGAUAUGAUCAAAUGAAGUUCAGUGGCAUAAUCGUAAUUUUUACGAAGUUGGUUUUAAAUAUCUGAAAACCCUUCUCUCUCUCUCUCUCUCCUGCGAACCAGAACCCCCCCUCCCUUCUUUGGCUUGCGACGGCAGCAACUUCCAGCCGUCGCCACCGCCACCACACACCGCCAUUUGGGGCGGCACCUGUCCCGUUAGAACCGCCUCACUUCCCUCUUCGAUUCCAGACCGGUCCCAGCCUCUAUCCGCAGUCGUGGUCGCCGGAAACAGCCCCGAAACAGACCGGAUUUUGACAGUUUUAAAAGAUUUUCUCAAGCUCGUUUUGGGUGAUUUCGGCCACCAUUUCCGACGAUCCAGGUAUGAUUUUUCAACCUCUCGACGUGUUCUAGCUGCUGGUUUUGUUAGUUUUGAGAAAUUUCUGCGUUUAGCAAAUCAAAUAAGCGAUGGAAGUUUGGCCGUUUUUCGGCCUCCGAUUCCGGCCACUUCCGUCGACUUUUUGGGAUAGGUCCAAGAACAAAAGUUGCUCUACUCAAUGUGCUGAUCCUAUAGUGUAAGUUUUGGCUGGCAGUUUGGAGUUUUUCCGAUUGCUGGAAUUUGAUUUGGACACCCACCGCUGUCGGCGCGUGGGGCGGCGCGUGGGGGCACGUGGUGGCCUGUCAUUUUGUCCUAAAAUAAUCCUCAUGUUGUCCCGAGCACGACGGUAUACUCGGAUUUCAAUUUGGUUAUCGUUUGGUCGUCGAUCGGAUAUUGCAUUUUAGGUGUUAUCGGAGUUGGACAGCUUCGUACCGUUGGAUCGAGUCCAAUUCAAUAUAUGUUGUUCUAGGCUUUCCUAGGAUCGUGUAGGAUUUCGUGGAUCGUGAAUCGGAGCCCGGAUGUUCCGAUUCAAUAACUUAAAGUUUGCAUUGAAUGAUAACCGUCUGAUCGGGCGAUCGCGAGUGAUCCAACCGUCCGAUUCAGACCAAACUUGCAAGACAAGUAUUCUAAACCUUGUGGAACUCAUAGGAACUUCCAUAUUGUAAAAUGGAGGUCGUGGGUCCUGCGAGCCAGGUUGACUAAGAUUGGGUAGUUUGACCCAUCGGUUGACCGUGAGUCUUCUAAGGUAGUUUCACCCUUCGAGGAGUACUAGAGCGACCUUAACUGUUAUUUGAGUUAUGUUGACUAUGUUAGAAUUUUUAGAUUUGUUUUAUAUUAUCUAGUAGGAAAUGAUCGAACUUGGGUCUGUACUUAGCACGCUCGGAUUUCACAAAACCCUAGUAAUAAAAUGGGGUUAAAAUCCUACAAAUUCUUAAUUAAAAUUUCCCAAAAAAAAUUCAAAUCUUACAUGUUGUUCAAGUUCUCUGUCAAAAUCAAAGUGUGUCAAAUUCCCAAAGUGACCAUUAUUGAUGACCUUUCUCAGACUUGAUUAGCUAGCUAUGACGAAAGUGUCAUCCGUCUUCCAUGUCAUGGCUCCCAAAUUGCCAUUAGAGACAACAGCAUAGAGACUUUGGACUAAGUUAGUGACACGGCUGGAUGCUCUGCGAGUCUCGGCUUUACGUGCUUCGCGUAAUCAUAGAUUGUUCAACUUGUCAGACAUGUCAAUGAGAUUAGGCAUCUUAGGAUCAUGUUAUCAAUAGCAUCGUUGAAUGCACGUUGUAGCGUUUCCACUGCUGCGUCAAAAACAACUUUCCCUUAAACAAAAUGCUUUUUAUAGUCAGCCAUCAGCUUUACAGAUUCAGGAACCAGCUUUAUACGGCCGCCAAUAGACAGUUUUUCAGCGAGAGCAACCCUUGCAUCGUUCGUAGAUGUAGUUUCAACAACCGGAUGAGCAAAUAUGGAGUACAACUUUGCAUUGUGGACCGCCUGUUUUUUAGUGGUAUCAAGCAGCCUUGCGGUAGCAGCCCGAUUUUUAGCGGCUGCUAUAACGGCAUCGAUUUCAACGGCGACUGUAGAGCCCUGUUCGUAUAGAGCUGGUUCCUGAAUCUAUAAAGCUGAUGGUUGAGUAUAAAAAGCAUUUUGUUGAAGUGGAAGUUGUUUUUGACGCAGCAGUGGAAACGCUACAAUGCGCAUUCAAUGAUGUUAUUGAUAACAUGAUCCCCAGGAUGCCUAAUCUCGUUGACAUGUCUGGCAAGUUGAACGAUCUACGAUUACGCGAAGCACGUAAAGCCGAGACUCGCAGAGCAUCCAGCCGUGUCACUAGCUUAGUCCAAAGUCUCUAUGCUGUUGUCUCUAAUGGCAAUUUGGGAGCCAUGACAUGGAAGACGGAUGACACUUUCGUCAUAGCUAGCUAAUCAAUUCUGAGAAAGGUCAUCAGUAAUGGUCACUUUGGGAAUUUGACACACUUUGAUUUUGACAGAGAACUUGAACAACAUGUAUUUGAAUUUUUUUUGGGAAAUUUUAAUUAAGAAUUUGUAGGAUUUUAACCCCAUUUUAUUACUAGGGUUUUGUGAAAUCCGAAUGUGCUGAGUACAGACCCAAGUUCGAUCAUUUCCGACGUGAUCGUCCAGAUUUGUUGGCCAACAUUAUUUGAGAAUCAAAGAUAGAGGCUCUGCAAGGAAAGGUGUUUGAUAUUGAGAGUAAAAUAACUCAAAUUGAUGGUCGGAUUGAUGAAUUUUCAGACAAAUUGGAUGGUAUGUUAAGGAGCUUCCAUGAUAAGUAUGUAUCUUAAACGUAGUGCUCUUAGCUAUGAUAAUGGGUUUUUAAAAAAAUAUGUAUUUGGCAUAAUAAAGAGCCUAGAGUUAAAAGGAACUUAAUACUUGUGCUUGGUUGUUAAUCAGUCUUGGAGUCAGCCAGUUAGGUAGGCUUACUGUUAUAUGAUUAGCUGUAAAGCUAAUUAUAAAUACUGAAGCUUAGUCUCCUAAGAUUCAUUAAGAAGUUAGAAAUCCAACUGAAAUUUGGAAAAAUUAGAAAACAGGUUAGGAACUAAUUUCAGGAAUCAUAUCCUUCUCCAAAAUUGGCAGAUGAUGAAUAUUACAAAUUCCUUUAUAGCUGCCCAAAUGUCUAGGAGAGCUUUUGAACAUACUGUGCCACAUGAAAGCUCUUGAAUACAGCCCAGAAGUCGCUAAGGGUGAGUUUCAUAUAAUUUUUCCUGUGCGUUUGGUAUAAUAAAGAGCCCUAGAGUGAAAAGGAACUUAAUGCUUGUGCUUGGUUGUUAAUCAGUCUUGGAGUCAGCGAGCUAGGUAGGUUUACUGUUAUAUGAUUAGCUGUUAUAUAAAUACUGAAGCUUGGUCUUGUAAAAUUCAUUAAGAAGAGAAAUCUAGGAAAUAUAAAGAGCACUUUCCUCUUUUGCUUCUGUGCUUUUUCAAUAGCUUCUCACCUAAUCCAAAUAAAUUUGGAAACUAAAAAUCUGGAAAAAUAGAAAUCCUACUGAAAUCUGGACAAAUUAGAAAUUGAUUCCUUUUUAGCGGGCCAAAUGUCUAAGAGAGCUUUUGAACAUACUGUUUCACAUGAAAGCUCUUGAAUACGGCCGAGAAGUCGCUAAGGAUGAGUUUCAUAUAAUUUUUCCUGUGUGUUAGAAUUGCUACUUCUCUCUGUCUCUCUUUUCCUUUUUGUUAUUUCUUUCUAUAUUUGAAUUCUUUUGUUUUGAAAUUGAUUCCUCGUCAAUCUCAGCACAAUACGUGGUUAGGCUACCCAGAGUUCAUUUCUCAACUGAUGGCAUUGCUUGAUGUUCGAGUGUCAUUUUAGUUGUUUGCCAUGGUCAGCUUCUGACAUAAAUAUGCGUAAUUCAUGUAGAAUUGAGACAAGUAUGAUAUGGUGACUUUUGUGGGGGCCAAGUACUCUGGUUUUGAUAGGUAUUUGUUAUGUUCCAUGCAAGUUUGGUUGUGGUUCAACAAAAUAAAAUCUCAACACAAUAUCUAAAUAAAGGCAUAAGCAUCAUCGUUACAGAUUCUCAAGUUUUUUUUUUAUUAUUCUUUUUUAAUGAAAUGGAUAUGAUAACAAGGAUGAAACUUGCCCAUGAAUUAUCUCUUCCAAUUUCUAGUUGGAGUGAAGAUCCUGCCCAUGAAUUCAUUGUCAUGUUUUGUGUUGUAGUAUAAGAAAUACAGAAUCUUAUAAAUAAAAGCCAGAUGGGUUAUUGGAUUCUUUUUCUAUUGUUUGUGGGUCUAUUAGAUUUUUAUCUAUUAUCGAGGGUUGUUUUGUUUUGUGCUUGUGAGAUUAUAGAUUCCUGCUUAUGAAAAUCUAUAUAAAACUCUAUGAAAGUAUGUCAUUAAAAAUCUGUGAAGUUUAUGAAAGUCGCUCACUUAAAAAGGUCUACAAAAGGUUUUAUAUAGAUUGAAUACACCCCUCAAUAACUCAAAGUCUCCUCUAAUGAAUUACGAAGGGGUUACAACAAUAUAACCCUAAAUUGAAAGGAAAUUAAUACUUAUUUUAGGAAAUAAAUCCUAAUCCAAAUAAAUUAGGAAACUAGAAAUUCUACUGAAAUCUGGAAAACUUAGGGCCCAUUAGUAAAAGCAUUCAGUAUACAUUUGUCGUUCGACGCAGAUGCAAAAUAUCCAUAUCCUACUUAGUAAAAGCAUUCAGUAUGCAAACAAUUAAAAGGACAACUCGGCUAUUAUGUUCAAUUGGAAGUUGCCUUCACUAUACUAUGCAUAUGUCGUCUAGGCUGCUGCUACCUGAGAUAAAACAAACAAAAAGCAAUAUUAAAAUUAAAAUAAACCAAUUACAUGCAAAUGAAAGUAUGAUGAGGACAUCUUUGUCAAACUCAUUAGGGCAUACAAACGAAAGAGAUGGAAGAGGAAAUCAUUAAUUCGGUCUUCCAAUCCUGUAAUUUUGGAGCAUUAGAUGAUUCAUGCAAUUAGUUCCUACCUUGUUUUCUAAGGGCCCGUAUGAUAACCAUUUCAGUUUUAGUUUUUAGUUUUUAUUUUUUGUGCUAAAGGAUAGAGGAAAAAGAGGGAGAAUAGAAGCAAGAAUGAGAGUGAAGAUGGGAUUGAGAGGGAGUAUGAGAUGGGAGGAUGGGAGGGAUGAGCAACAAAAGUGAAAACAAAACUUGAAAGUGAAAACAAUUUUAAAUAGAUUUCAGUUUUUAGUUUUUGACAAAGUGGCGUCUAGUGUUACUAUUAAUUUAUCCUUCUUGUUAAAAUUAUGAGCAAACUGUUGUUUUUAAAACUAGUGCAGAACUAGUAGACAGCCAAAUACAAAGCAAGUCAUGAUUUAAUAGAACACAACAAAAUAUAUGGUUCAGUUUGAACACAGGCAAAUGCAUGCACCGGCCUAGAGAAACACAAAGGAAAAGGGCCUUUUGAGCUGCUACAAUUUUGGGAAACGAUCCUAGGAGCAAAAUUGCAGUUUCCCAAACCCAAAAGGAAACACAAAACAAAAGGAGCCAACAGCACCUCCUCCACUAUAAAAGCUCCUUCCAGCCGCGAGAAACUCCAGCAUGUUUUUUUUUUUUUUCAAACUCAAUUUUAUCUCCCUCUGUAUUUUUUUUCUUUAUUUCUUUUCUUAUGGGUGAAUCGGAAAACCCCCUCCUCAAUGAAUUCUGGGCCGAGCAGUCAACUCCUCCUGAGCCGGCCCCCAUCGCCGGCCAAUGCUUGAAACCGACCCUUAAUGAUUGCACAAGCUUCAAUCGGAACAGAAUUGCCGACUAUGGUAAGGAACUUCUUAAUUUCUCCAAUUUGUGGAAUUUAGAUCCCUUUUUCGAAUCUAGUUUCAUGACCGUUAUGUAAUUUUGUUACUGGUGAUUAGAGUUAGUGGUUAACAUGAUAGAAUGAUCAUAUGUUAAUGGGUCUUAUUGGAAAUUAGCUAGUUAUGGUCAGAAAGCAACAGUCUUUGGAACUAAUAUGUUUGUUGCUGCUAUUGAUAAUCACGUGAGUUGCUGCUGCUCUUGAAAAUCAUAUGUACAAAGUAAAGUAAGAGCUUUUUCCUUAGACUGAUGAUGCUUUAAUUGUUAUGGCCAUGGUAAUGUAUGCAUAAACUUUGAAAUUUUGAUGGCCAAUGUAAUUAGACUCUUGUUUUAUGAUGAUAAAUGAAUCUUGCAGAAUUCAGACAUCUCGUGAUGCUAAACGUGUUGCUGGAUCUGCAAAGGUAUCAGAGUUGAGCAACAAGAACAGAACAUCCUCCAAUACUCUUAUGAGCUCUGAGCAGGAAAUUGAAUGCGGCGGGGCUUCCAUGAAGCUUGUAUCUGGAUUUCUUAAGCAGAAGCAAUUCGAGGAGGACAUUCAAUGCAGGUUUCUUUCUAAUUACACAAUUUAUAUUCCUAGAAUUGAAAACAGAUUAGAAUUAUCAGUUUUCUAUGGCUUCUGGGGAUAAUUAUUUUUACGAACAUUCAUAUUGAUCGAUGCCUCAUUUAUUUAUAAAAUUCUUCAGACCCAGGUUUCCAACAUUUAGAUUUAGGUUUUUUGGUCGGAAGCUAGUUGUUGAACACAGUUGUAUUUUUGGUGAAGCUUUAUUUUUGUUGAAAAAACAGCUAAAACUUUUCGAAAACGGAAGAGGAUGAGAAAAUAGUAUAUCACUUUAGUGAACAAGGAUGCAUCAAGAAAGAAAACCAUGUUAAUCAUUAUACUUAUACCUUCCUAUAUCCCUUGGUACUUGGCUCUUGAUGAGCUAACAUCAUCGCCAUAUCUAGAAACAAGGUUAAACAAGUUUGACCGUUUGAUUUUUUUUUUUUUCCUUAAUAUGUCAAUUCCACACAGCAUUUUUUUAGAGGGCAUACAUUAUGUGUAUAAUAUAUAUUGCAUGGCACAGGUUGAUUAAUGGCGAUACUCCUACCAAAGGAAGGAAAAGAUCCCAGUCAUCUCUUGGAUUGCCAACCUCUAGUCAGUUAAAAAGAUCAAAGAGAUCAUCACCAGCAGAAAGAAGACCAUCAUCAAUUGAUGAUCUCCCUGACACGGCAUUGGUUGAAAUCCUUUGCCGACUUCCAUCAAGUAAAUUUGUGUUUCAAUGCCGGUGUGUGUCCAAGUGUUGGCGCACACUCAUCUCAGAUCCUUAUUUUAUCGGCCGCUUUGUACAUAUCCAAGGUUAUAGGAAAACUCCGAAGAUAUGCACUCUAAUAAGUCCAAAAGGAGAGGAAUUCCCUCCUAAAAUGCCAUGGUCAUCCAAGCUACUAAACCCAGUGUUCAAACGAAUAAUGAGUUUCCACUCUUUGACAAAAGAGCCAGUUGUGGUAGCAACGUAUAAUGACUUAGUUUUGUGCUGCGCAACUGAGGAUUAUCAACACAAUUACUACAUCUGCAAUGCAUACACCAUGCAAUGGGUUGCUCUUCCUCCCACCCCAGGUCGAUGCCACGAUAGGGUACUAGUGGGAUUCAUCUGUAAUAUUCCCUACUAUAAUUCUAAGAAAGAAGAUUGGAAAGGGCAUAACGUCCAGCUUAAUACUGAGUGUAUGUGCAACGUUGUGAGAAUUCUGCCUCCUGAUGAAUCUGCAAAUGAUGACGAAUGUGAUUCCUUAAAAUUAAGCGUGGAGAUCUUCUCUUCUGAGACUGGUGAAUGGAGAGAAUCAGUUGUGGCUUCCCCACGAUACUUUGAUUUUGAUGACCUUGAAGAUAUCUCCUUUGCAUACAAUGGGAUGUUAUAUUGGACAAGUGACGAAGAACUCCUUUUUGUUGGUUUGGGUCCCUUCAACGACAAUAACACGACAAGUAGUAGUAGUGGUAAUGGUGAUGGCAUUAUUGAUCAUAAACUUCACUUCACUGUAUUUGAGGAGCCUCUAAAUGGACGUUUUGUAGUUGAGUACCUAGGUAUGUUCGGAGGAUGUGUGUGGAUGUGUGACUUUAAGGCGGCUACCAAUACUCUGUAUGUUUGGGAGUUGAAAGAACAAGAUCAUGAUCGGAUGGUCGAAGGAGCUGCUGGCAGAUUGUGUUUAACUAACCACAGGGUAUAUCACUUGGACCCAAAAAUGUAUCUGGAUGGUCCAUUUACGUGCGAAAUGCAGGCUUUUGACCCAAAUAAUAAGGAUAUUUUGUACCUGCGUGUGGAUGGAGAUAUUAUCAAGUGCAACAUUCAUACGAAAAAGUGGUCUAGGAUAGUUAGACGGUGUCCAGUUGGUAAUGGUGACUAUUGGCCAGUUGAGCUCCCAUGGUGGCCGACUCCAGUUCCUAGAUUACCGCAGCAUGCCCAUGGUGGAGGAACUAGCAGCUAGUAGAUAACUUGAAUUAAAGUACUAAACUUUUAUUUGUUAAAGUUGGAUUAUUUGUAUUUGAUGUACUCAGCAAUGUUACACUUGUAUUUGCUGGUAUCCCUAGCAUGUUUUUUUAAUUAUUCUUUUUGUUAACUGUUUUUUCCAUCUUUUCUUAUUAUGGCGAUAUAUGGACUGCGAGUCGUUCUGUACACACCCAGUUUAUUAAUCAAAGCAUUCUUUAAGCUGAAUUGAAGUUUUGCAAUCUUAUUCUUUAUUCUUUCUUUUGUUUUGUUUUGUUUCUGUUUUUGUUUUAAGUUUUCUGAUGUGCAUCUUAUAAUCUUAUUCUUCAUCAUUUGGUUGCUUUCUAUUUUCAGUUAUACAAAUUUGCCCUGGGUUUGAGUGUUAAGCUUUGAUUUUUGCAUGGUUCUAAGUAAUUUGUUUCAAUAGUCCCUGUAUCCAGAGGUUCGACGUAAAUGCCUGCUCUGUUAUGUGAUGAAGAAUCAAGGAAGGUGUAUCAUGAUGUUUCAUAUAAUUGUUGACCUUUUGAUUUUGUUUUGUAUCAUUCUUACUUGCUUUCCGUAUAAAAUAAUGACAUAGUUAAAUAUGAGUUUGUUUACCGGAAAAUAAAAGGUUUUUUAUUAUAUAAUUAAAAACGGUAUAGCCGGGCGGCUAUACUACACGUUAAAAAAAAUAAAAAUAUAGUAUAGCCGUUCGGCUACGUUUUUGACACGCGGAGAACCGCGCGGCGCUAGGCGGGUUUUUAUAAUUUAAAAAACUAUAGCCGAGCGGCUAUACUAUUUUUGACACAUGCCUAGCACUAGGAGCCAGGUGGGUUGUCCUUUUUAUUAUAAAUAGUAUGGCCGGGCGGCUAUACUUGAGGUUUUUUUUAAAAAAUAGUAUAGCCGAGCGGCACGUAUAGCCGCGCGGCUAAACUACGCGCACGCAUCCAACUCUCAGGAGUUAAAAAGGAGCUGACCACGUACGCAUCUAAGUCAUACCUCUGCCACCCAGAAACCAAUUUCUUCUUUGCCUCCUCAAACUCCAAAGGCCUCACCAAACAAACAGAUAAAAUUCAACUUUCAACCGAAAAAGAAACCUAAACGGUCAAUAUUCGUCACAUCGCGUUAGCUUCCUUCCGCCAUAAUCAAAGCGUGUCUGCUUGCUCCCCAAGCCAACCCAAACCUUUAUAAAUACCACUCAUCACCCUCUGAAAAUCCAAAUGCUUCCCAAGCCCCAAACCACAUCAAAUUAGAAAAAACCCCAUUUCUUCCUUCACUUGAACACUAAAAAAACCUAUAUAUUUUAGGCCAUGUCGACGGUAGGUUAUGGUUUUGCUGAAGCAUAUGUGCUCAGAGGCCUCCACAAGAAGAAGCUGAAGAUGGAGCAAGAAGAAGAAAGAGCCAAGCUGGGCAGAGCUGAAUCUGAAAUUGGUCAGCCCAGUGGUUGUUUGUUUCGGGUGAUGAAGAAAGUCCAUCCAAGCAAUGCUCAGAGUCAAAGGGCUUGUUCAGCUGAAACAGAAGAAACUGGAGAAGUUGGGGCUUUGAACCAGAAAGUUAGAUAGAGCUCAGGCUCAUGACAUUUGUAGCUGCUUUCAGUAAAAUUGGUUGUGCAUAAAAAAAAAAUUGUUCUGAAAAAGUGUAUGUUUGGGCUAAGUCAUGCCUUUAGCUUAAGACUUUUUAAUGGGUUGGAUCUAUUGGUUUCAGUCCAAAUUCCAGGCCCAGUUUGUAUUAUUAUGACAGCAAUUGUUUUUUUUUAUUUGUUUAGAUUAUCAUUAUAAUUUAUUUUGAUGCACUUAAGCAUACUCAUUACACAUUUAAUUUUGUUUUGUUGGUGGCCCAAAAUUGGUUCAAUGAAGACUUUCAAGAACACGAACGAUUUAAUGUGGUUUUUCAAAGCCAGCCUACAUACAUAAUGAUGUUGAUAUAGGCAUAAUGCAUACUUAUCUGCCCCCAAUGUGAGACCCAAUGACUAGGCCUUAUCAUAUGUUGUGAGAAAAUCUCAUUUUGAUCCUCCACCUUUUGUUCUUGUUCGUCAAACAAGUAACAUCUAGAGCUUAAUUAUUGAUAUGCUUCGGACUAUACUCGUGUCAUGUCGGAAUAUUUAUUAGAUUUUUCAACAAGAGUUAAUGUAAAAUGAAACACUAAAUUCAAGUUUGGGGGAUCAAAUAAGAUAAAUUGAAUGUUACAGGGUGAAAUGAGACUGAAAAUGAAACCAAAUUUUAAGGGUCAUAUCUAUAAGACUAUAUCAAUAAUUAAGUCUAAAAUUAUUCUCACAAUCUCUCUGAGUCACUUCUAAGAAGAACUAGGAGACCGAGGCCUGUAGCCUAUGUGUGACUUUUGAGCUUGUGGGUCAAGAUAGUAAUGUAUUUGUAAUUAGUGGUUUAUAUGCUCAUGAAUUUGGAAUGGCAUCAUCAAAUUGACUUUUGCACACACACACUGAUUGAUUACUAUUUGAUUAAUUAAGUAUAUUACUAAAAUUAGUAGGACCUAAAAGAUGUCAUUAUCUCAUGUAAAAUCAAAUCACAUGCAUUAUGCAAAACCACUUUUCCACUUUUUCACUGCUGUUAUACUGUUUUUAUAAAGUAUAGCCGCACGGCCAUACUAUAUUUUUAUAAUUAAAAACAUAGUAUAGCCGCUCGGCGAUACUCUUUUUUUAAAAAAAAAUAAUGCCCCCGCGUAUAGCCGGUCGGCUACACUAUUUAUAAAAAAUAAAGAGGACCCAUGUGCCACUUUUUAAAAACAGUAUAGCCGCCCGGCUAUACGUUUUUUAAAUAAUAAAAAACAUUUUAUUUUCCUGUAACCAAACUCAUAUUUAACUAUGUAUAAUUAUGUUAUACGGAAAGCAAGUAAGAAAAUACAAAACAAAAUUAAAAGGUAGCACCCUAAACAGCCCAUUUCUGAUAGUAUUUGUAACAGAGGAAGAAACACCAGCUGUGGAGAAGCUAUUGGUUUUUCAGAAUCAGGAUUUGGGGUUCAUGGAUGGUUGAGGCUUUGUUGUUUUUCAUUUGGAUGUUUGAGAUUGUAUAUUAUUUUGUUCCCGCGUAAAUGUCUUUUUCUGCGUCUUUCUCCUUUCUCUCUCUCUCACAUCAGCUGUUUAAAAACUUGCAACGUUUUGAAUGAUUGAAUGAUUGAACGAUCUCAUUUUUCUUGGUAUAAUUCACAAAAAAGAACAACCGUCUUCACAUAAUCACAAAAAAGAACAACGUUUUGAAUGACUAUAGUGAAAACGCCCAAUACUGCAAGUUAGUACGGACCCCAACUAACGGAACCUCCUGCAAUAAAAAGCAUGAAACCAGUAAACUUACAACAAACUCGAACUUAAAUGGUAUUGGACAGAAUUGAUACUAUGAUCUAAAAACCUCAGAUAUGUACUAACAUCACCACGACAAAGAAUUAUGACUUUUCCCCCAAGCAGAUGCUUCUGGGAUCCAAUGUGACUGUAGCUGUGCAAGACCCUUCAUUUCCAUUAAAUAUAAAUAAAAUCAAAUAUGUCUUUCUUUAAUUCUAAAUUAGGAUGAGACAUGAGGAAAAUAAUCAGUGUCAUCUCACUCUCAAUAUUAAUUUUCCUUUUUCCAUUGCAACUAUGGAUUGGCUCUUGUGCCUACAGAAACAAGGUUAUAGCUGAUGUUUAUAAACGUCUUGGAAUACUAAAUUAAAGCUACAUGGAGGCCACACAUCCAUUAUUUUUCCCAUUGAAUUUUUUUGCUAGGAAUCUUAUUGAUUUAUUGUGUUUUGGGACAGGCAUAUAUAUUAUAGAUUCUACUGUCAUUGCCGGUCGAGCUGGUAGGUUUCAAGAGGAAACUGGGAAGUAUAAGAACAUUGUGUACCUGAACUGCAGGCCUGAGAAUAAUUUUUUUCCUGAUCUAUCAAUUGCUUCUAGGGCGGAUAUCGUAUUUUUCUGCUCUCCAAACAAUCGAACUGGCAAUGCUGCAUCACAGCAGCAACUAAAGCAACUGGUGGAGUUUGCAAAAGCAAACGGAUCAAUAAUAGUUUAUGACUCCUCCUAUGCUGCUUAUAUAUCUGAUGACAGCCCGAGAUCGAUUUAUGAAAUUCCUGGGGCCAGAGAGGUUUCUCACUAGUUCUCCUCACCACCAUAUAUCAUUUUGUGCUUAACUAUACAAAACCUUCUUGUUAAACUUGACAUACAAAAGGGAUUCUCACUGGAAGUUGUUUUGGCCAAUUUUGUGUGCAGGUUGCAAUUGAAGUUUCAUCCUUCUCCAAAUUUGCUGGGUUCACAGGGGUCCGCCUCGGAUGGACGGUUGUCCCUGAUGAGUUGUUGUAUGCAAAUGGAUUUCCUGUCAUAAAGGACUGUAACCGCAUAGUGCGCACCUGCUUCAAUGGUGCAUCAAAUAUUGCCCAGGCCGGAGGGCUGGCAUGCCUUUCUGCAGAAGGUUACCAGGUUAUAAUUUACACCCCAUUUCUUUUCCAAGCAUGCAUUAAUUCUCUAGUAAGUUAAAAUCCAAUGCAGUUUCAAAUUUUAACUGUUUGUAAGUUGUGCUUUUUACAUUUUCAGGCCAUAACCACAGUGGUUGACUACUACAAGGAAAAUGCAAAAAUAAUUGUGGACACAUUCAGAUCACCUGGGUUGAAGGUGUAUGGUGGCAAGAAUGCACCUUAUAUAUGGGUACAUUUUCCAGGGUUGAGUUCUUGGGAUGUAUUCAAUGAAAUUCUUGAAAAGACAGACAUAGUGACCAUACCAGGAAAGGGAUUUGGUCCUGGAGGUGAAGAGUACAUCAGAGUUGGUGCUUUUGCCCACAGAGAAUAUAUUGGGGGCUUCAAAAAGGCUAAAAACUCUUUUUUAACUUGAGUUAUUUCAUAAAUAUUUGAACCCAGUUGACAGGUACUUGAAGCAAGAAUGACCAUCUUCUUGGAUAACUUUACUGGUUCAUGAGAUGAAUUAGGAUUGGACAAUUAUUUGGUGCUGAUAAGGAAAAAUCUAAUUGAACUGUAUUGCAUUGUUCAUAAGAUUUGUUUCUUCUCAGCCCAUUACUGGUUGUGACUUGUAUAAAUUGUAUUUGUCCUCAUUCAACAUGGCAUCUUGAACCCUUCUUUCUUUUUAUAGUUUCUUGCACUCUCCAGAUGAUGAUUGAAUUAUUUACAAAGGGUAAACUACUCAAAUGAUCCUCAAAUUUAUACUCGAUUUACAUUUUGGUCCCUCAAAUAAAUUAUUCGUUCAAAUGGUCCAUCAACUAUAUAUUAUUCGCUCCAUUGGUCCUACCGUUACAUUAUGUUAAUAUUUCCAUUAAAUAUGAGGGCAAAUUGGUCAUUAUUUACCCUAAAAUUAGGUUAAAUCUAACAGAAAAUUAGACGGUAGGACCAUUAGAGCGAAUAAUAUAGAGUUCAUGGACCAUUUGAACGAAUAAUUUAGUUGAGGUACCAAAAUGUAAAUCAGGUAUAAGUUUGAGGACCAUUUGAGUAAUUUAUACAAAAGUUCCAAUUUAUAUUUGUUAAACUUUUUGGGGUAAAUUACUCAAAUGGUCCUCAAAUUUAUACCUGAUUUAUAUUUUGGUCCCUCAAUUAAAUUAUUCGUUCAAAUGAUCUAUCAACUCUAUAUUAAUUGCUCCAUUGAUCCUACCAUUACAUUAUGUUAAUAUUGCCAUCAAAUGUAAGGAUAAAACCGUCCAUAAUUGUCCUAUGUUUUCCAAAUAUGUGAUAAGCGGUGAUACAUAAGUGAUAAAGUGGUUAUACAUAUGUGAUAAAGUGGUGAUACAUAUGUGAUAAAGUGUGAUAAAGUGAUACAUAUGUGAUAAAGUGGUGAUAAGGUGGUGAUAAAGUGUGAUACAUAUGUGAUAAAGUGAUGAUACAUAUGUGAUACCGUGGUGAUAAAGGGGUGAUACAUAGGUCAAAAGUUUUAUUUACCCUCACAAAUGUAGCAUGUGCUGCUCAUAUGACUAAAUUUAACAGAAAAUGUAACGGUAGGACCAAAGUGCCGAUUAAUAAAGAGUUGGUGGACCAUUUGAACGAAUAAUUUAGUUUAUGGACCAAAAUGUAAAUCGGGUACAAAUUUGAGAGCCAUUUGAGUAAUUUACCUAACUUUUUGAGAUUGUACCAAAUUUGUACUUUGACCAGCUGACAUGAUUUCAUGUUACAAACACGAACAUAAAAAUUAAGCGGUUAGUUGGUUGCAUGAUGAGUUGACACGAUAAUAACACGCUUAUUAAUGUUCAUUCACAAAAUACAAUGAAAAUAGGGGUUUUAGGUUCAAUGGUCCAUGAAUUUUCAUAUGAUUCGCAUUUUGGUUCCUCAAUUUCCAAAAUCGUUCCCAUAGUCCUUCAACUUUAGUUUCGUUAUGACAAAUGGUCCUGCCGUCAUUUUUAUUAAUUUUUUAUGUUAAAUUCAGGGAUUAAAAGGUUUUUUUUGUAUUAUUUUUAAUUUCCACCAUAUGAAUAUUUCAACAAAGCUAUAGACAACCUCCACCCGACAUCGAGCCAAUUAACCCACCAUCUCGACAACAACUGAUGGCGCUCCCCCAACCCACACCAUACGCACCCUCCUUGCGAUGACGAGGAUAGGAAUAAAGUUUUUCAGUUUUUAUUUUUUGGGUGAAAGGAAUAUUCACAUGGUGGAAAUUAAAAAUAAUACAAAUAUACCAUUUUGCACUCACAUUUAACAAAAAAAAAUAACAAAAUUAACGGCAUGACCAUUUGUCCUAACAAAAGUAAACUUAAAGGACCACGAGUAUGAUUUUGGAAACUAAGGGACCAAAAUGCGAAUCGGGUCAAAGUUUAGGGACCAUUAGACCUAAAAACCCAUGAAAAUAUUAAGAAAUGAAAUCAUUCAUUAAAGAGUUAUUUACAUAAACACACCCAUGAGGUUUUUAGUGUUUUCACAAACCCCCACUCAGUUUCUAAAAUUACAUGAACACCCCUUUUGAGAUUUCAAAUUUUUUUUAAACAAAACCCACUUUCAUUGAUUCUUCAUCCAAAAUUUGAUGAUUUCAUAUAUAAAAACUUUUGUAAAUAAUAAAUGAACCUCGAUGAAUGUAUAAAAACUUUUGAGAUUUCAAUUAGCCAACUCAAAUUAUCUUUCUUAAUUCUAAAAUUUAUUAUUAUUAAAGUUCUUAAUUGUAAAUUGCCACACCCAAUUUUUUUUUUUUUGAAAAUUAAAAACCAGUAUUUUUUUUUAAUGGAAAAAAUAGAAACCUUACAAACGAAAGCCAUGAGGGCACGCAGGCCCAACUAAAUUAAAAUAAAACGGAGCAGAGCAACCUAAAAGAAGCCCCUGCUCCCAUAGGUGGGAAGGGUUCAGAGAAUGGCCUAAAUUAGCUAAAACGUUAGCUGUGAAGUUAGCUUCCUGGAAGAAGUAAGAACUUAAUAGCCUUAUGUCUUGUACGAGGAGAUGAAUACUCCAAGGAACUGAAACUUUGUUGUUGUUAUAGUCAAUAAUGAGUUUGGAAUCUCCUUCAACUAAAACUUUGCACCAACCAUUGUGGAUUGCAUAGGUGAGACCAUCAUGAAGCACUAAACAUUCAGCAACAUUUAUCUAAAUCUGACCCGAAUUCUUAGCUCCAUCGAGCCAAACGUUACCAUUCCAGUCUCGAGUAAUGAAACCAGUGGUGGCUAGAUUACCACACACUGAGCCAUCAAAGUUCAAUUUAAUCUAAUCGAGCGAUGGUGGUUUCCAUUUAAUGGCAAGCUCACCUUUGGACUUUUGAGGAGGAGUGGAAUUGAUUUUCCAAAAGUCUAGUCCAAUCUGACCAGUAGCAUUAAGGGCUCUAACCGAAUGAGGGGCAAUGUCUUUAAACACACAAUUGUUCCGAACCGCCCAAAUUUGCCAACAGAGAAGAAGGGCUUUGGAAAGAAUAUUUGGGCCAUCCUUAUCCUUUGUGUGAGGGAAAGCAGCUAGCCAUUCUAUACCAUGAAAAUUUUGCUGGGUAGGCGUACGGAUUAUUGAGGUACACCUUCAUAUGUUGAUUGUAAACUGGCAUUCAAAGAAUAAAUGGUUAAUAGUCUCCCAAAAAAAAAAAAAACCAAUUGUCGAGGGCGAGAGUAUAUACUUCUUUGAUAUAUAGAAAGAGCUAAAACAGAGCUCCAAUUUCAGAUUCUAGUAGGUUCUUUAAAAAACAAAUCUAAAUAACAUUAUAUAAGACAUUUUUCAGCUAAAAAUUCAAAAACCCUAAAUUGCGGGCGAACCAAUAGAAAAUUCACAAAAUACCGAAUAACUAAAACUGGACCAUCAAACACCCCAUUAGACCCAAAAAAACGAACACCGCAUUUCAAAAUUCAAUAUCAUCGAUCAAACAAUAAUCUCCCAAGAUUGUCCAUUGAACCCUAAUCUCCCAAGAUCGUCCAUCGAACCCUUAUAUCCUCCAUCUAAUCACCAACUCUAAUCAUCAAGAUCCUUAUUGUGAUAAUGGACAUGGUCGAGGAAUUUGACGACUAUAUGAAUGCAUAACGUAAAUCGCUAGCCACCACAGUUAAAACCGUCGUCGAAAUAGAUGCCGCCACAGCCACCGUCGAAAUGGAUGCCUUCAUAACCGUCGUCGAAAUGGAUGCCGCCCCCAAACGUAAAGGUCGUGAUUUGCCAUUCGUGGUCGAAAUUGCCACAGAAAAACGUAAACGCUGUGAUUCGCCAGCCUGCGUCGAAAUCAAUGCAGCUACAGCCGCCAUCGAAAUCAAUGCAGCUACAUCCACCGUCAAAAUCAAUGCCUCUACAGUCGCCGUUGAAAUCAAUGCUGCUAUAGUCGCCGCCAAAAACUGGGUUGCUUGCUACCGUUAAAAAGCAGGCGGUCCGCAAUGCAAAGUUGUACUCCAGAUUUGCUCACCCGGUUGUUGAAACUGCGACUACGAACGAUGCAAGGCCAGUUGAUCUCACUGUCUACUAAUCCCUUAGAUUGUUAUGAAAUUUGAUUGUGUCCUGUUAUUCUGCCUUUGGAUUUUCUGUUGGUGGUUGUUCUUUUUGGUAGGAUUCUGAUGUUUGUGUUCAUGGGAAUAUGUUAAAAAUAUUGUAUUCUUCAAGCCCAGUAAUGACCUUGUGGUGAUUUUAUGGUUGGUUAGGGAACACUAUUUGCAUGUUUUUGUUUUCGAAGAUUUUCAUAGUCUGUUUGGUUGCUGAGAAAAAGGUGGGAAAACCAAGGACUUUAGUGAAGAAAUAAGGCGGUUGACCAUAUCUAAAAAAAAAAAUCUAUUUGGAGGAUAGUUGAAUUUUGACCUAGGUAGUCUCUCUUUUAGCUCAUUUUGCAGGUGUCAAACCGUGAUUUACAUGGUAUAGUGAAGGCAACUUCCAAUUAAACACAAGAGCCGAGUUCUCCUUUUAAUUGUUUGCAUAUUGAAUGCUUUUACUAAGUAUGAGGAUAUGGAUAUUUUGUAUCUGCGUGUGCUCCUGUGGUGACUGACAUCACCCCAGCACCAGCCUGCUCAUCCAUGGUGGAGUAACUAGCAGCUAAUAGAUAGCAAGAAUUAAAGUACUUCUAUUUGCAUUUGAUACUCUUCAAUGUUGCAAUUGGGUUUUGUUGUGUUUUGUCUCUUAUCUUGAUUGGGAGCGGUAAAUUUUCCUGCAGUUUUCUCAUGCAAGCCAAUUCAACAACCUUUCUGCUCUUCAUACUCUGAUACUCUAUGUUGUACUGUAUUGUAUUUGUCCUCAUUCAACAUGGCACCUUGAACCUUCUGGCCUUCUUUCUUGUUAUAGUUUCUUCCGCUCUCUAAAAGGUUCAAACAUGGGCCUCUAUCUAGGUUGACCAAAUUUUCGACGGCGAGAGCUUGGCGAACCAAUAGAAAAUUCACAAAAUACCGAAUAACUGAAACUGGACCAUCAAACACCCCAUUUCCUCAUACCCAAAAAAAGGGACAUUGCAUUUCAAAAUUCAAUAUCAUCGAUCGAAUCCUAAUCUCCCAAGAUCGUUCAUUGAACCCUAAUCCCCCAAGAUUGUCCAUUGAACCCUAAUCUCCCAAGAACGUCCAUCGAACCUUUAUAUCCUCCAUAUAAUAACCAACUCUAAUCAUCAAGAUCCUUCUUGUGAUAAUGGACAUGCUCGAUGAAUUUGACGACUAUAUGAAUGCACAACGUAAAUCGCUAGCUACCAAAGCUAUCACCGCUACAACCACUGUCAAAAUGGAUGCCGCCAAAGACACUGCCACUACAACCGACGUCGAAAUGGAUGCUGCCACAGCCACCAUCAAAAUGGAUGCUGCCAUAGCCACUGUUGAAAUGGAUGCCGCUACAGCCGCCCCAAAACAUAAAGGCAGUGAUUCGCCAGCCGUCGUUGAAAUUGCCAUAGAAAAACGUAAACGUUGUGAUUCGCUAGUCGGUGUCGAAAUCAAUGCGCUACAGCCGCCGUCGAAAUUGAUGCCGCUACAACUGCCCUCGAAAUCGAUGCCGCUACAUCCACCGUUGAAAUCGAUGCCUCUACAGUCGCUGUUGAAAUCAAUGCCGUUAUAGCCGCCGCCAAAAAUCGGGUUGAUACUGCAAGGCUGCUUGAUACCGCUAAAAAGCAAGUGGUCCACAAUGCAAAACUGUACUUUGGAUAUACUCACUCGGUUGUUGAAACUGCGAGUACGAACGAUACAAGGCUAGUUGCUCUCGCUGAAAAACUGGCUGCUAGAAGCCGUAUAGAGUUGGUUCCUGAAUUUGUAAAGCUAAUGGCCGACUAUAAAAAGCAUAUGGUUGAAUUGGAAGUUGUUUCUGACACAGCAGUGGAAACGCUACAACGCGCAUUCGACGAUGUUAUUGAUAACAUGAUCCCCAAGAUGCCUAAUCUCGCUGACAUGUCUGACAAGUUGAACGAUCUACGAUUACGCCAAGCACGUAAGGCCAAAACUCGCAGAGCAUCUAGCCGUGUCACUGGCUUAGUCUGAAGUCUCUAUGAUGUUGUCUCUAAUGGCAAUUUUGGAGCCAUGACAUGGAAGACGGAUGACACUCUUCCAGUUUCCAGUCAUGGGAGCUGCGUCUCCAGUCACUUACUUUUUCAUUUUCCCGCGCCUGAUUAGCGCUUCUAUCUCUUCCUUCAUCUGGUACCAGUGCGUGCAAAUAUCACCGAGAUUACAGCCAUCAUACAGAUGACUGCUACCAGCUAAAGGAAGAGAUAGAAGCGCUGAUCAGGCGCGAGAAACUGAAAGAGUAUAUGACUAGAGACGCAACCCCCAUGACUGGAAAUUGAAAGAAUGUCAUCUGUCUUCCAUAUCAUGGCUUCAAAAUUGCCAUUAGAGACAACAUCAUGGAGACUUCAAACUAAGCCAGUAACACAGCUAGAUGCUCUGCGAGUCUUGGCCUUACGUGCUUGGCGUAAUCGUAGAUCGUUCAACUUGUCAGACAUGUCAGCGAGAUUAGGCAUCUUGGGGAUCAUGUUAUCAAUAACAUCGUCGAAUGCGCGUUGUAGCGUUUCCACUGCUGUGUCAGAAACAACUUCCAAUUCAACCAUAUGCUUUUUAUGGUCAGCCAUCAGCUUUACAAAUUCAGGAACCAACUCUAUACGGCUUCUAGCAGCCAGUUUUUCAGCGAGAGCAACUAGCCUUGUAUCGUUCGUACUCGCAGUUUCAACAACCGAGUGAGUAUAUCCAAAGUACAGUUUUGCAUUGUGGACCACCUGCUUUUCAGCGGUAUCAAGCAACCUUGCGGUAUCAACCCAAUUUUUGGCGGCGGCUAUAACGGCAUCGAUUUCAACGACGGAUGUAGCGGCAUCGAUUUUGAGGGCGGUUGUAGCGACAUCAAUUUCGACGGUGGCUAUAGCGACAUUAAUUUCGACGCCGACUAGCGAAUCACAACGUUUACGUUUUUCUAUGGCAAUUUCAACGACGGCUGGCGAAUCACUGCCUUUAUGUUUUGGGGCGGCUGUAGCGGCAUCCAUUUCGACAGUGGCUGUGGCAGCAUCCAUUUUGAUGGUGGCUGUGGCAGCGUCCAUUUCGACGUCGGUUGUAGUGGCAGUGUCUUUGGCGGCAUCCAUUUUGACAGUGGUUGUAGCUGUGAUAGCUUUGGUAGCUAGCGAUUUACGUUGUGCGUUCAUAUAGUCGUCAAAUUCAUCGAGCAUGUCCAUUAUCACAAGAAGGAUCUUGAUGAUUAGAGUUAGUGAUUAUAUGGAGGAUAUAAAGGUUCGAUGGACGUUCUUGGGAGAUUAAGGUUCAAUGGACGAUCUUGGAAUAUUAGGGUUCGAUGGACAAUCUUGGGAGAUUAGGGUUCAAUGAACGAUCUUGGGAGAUUAGGAUUCGAUCGACAAUAUUGAAUUUUGAAAUGCAAUGUCCCUUUUUCUGGGUAUGAGGAAAUGGGGUGUUUGAUGGUCCAGUUUCAGUUAUUCGGUAUUUUGUGAAUUUUCUAUUGGUUUGCCAAACUCUCGCCGUCGAAAAUUUGGUCAACCUAGAUAGAGGCCUAUGUUUGAACCUUUUAGAGAGCGGAAGAAACUAUAACAAGAAAGAAGGCCAGAAGGUUCAAGGUGCCAUGUUGAAUGAGGACAAAUACAAUACAGUACAACUAUAUCCAUAUCCUCCUACUUAGUAAAAGCAUUCAGUAUGCAAACAAUUAAAAGGAGAACUCGGCUCUGGUGUUUAAUUGGAAAUUGCCUUCACUAUACUAUGUAAAUCACGGUUUGACACGUGCAAAAUGAGCUAAAAGAGAGACUACCUAGGUCAAAAUUCAACCAUCCUCCAAAUAGAUUUUUUUUUAAAUAUGGUCAACCGCCUUAUUUCUUCACUAAUGUCCUUGGUUUUCCCACCUUUUUCUCAGCAACCAAACAGACUAUGAAAAUCUUCGAAAACAAAAACAUGCAAAUAGUGUUCCCUAACCAACCAUAAAAUCACCACAAGGUCAUUCCUGGGCUUGAAGAAUACAAUAUUUUUAACAGAUUCCCAUGAACACAAACAUCAGAAUCCUGCCAAAAAGAACAACCACCAACAGAAAAUCCAAAGGCAGAAUAACAAGACAACCAAAUUUCAUAACAAUCCAAGGGAUUAGUAGCCAUUGUAUAUGAAAUCAUAGACUUCCUAACAAAUCCUUAUACUGAUGCACAAAUGCACAUGUUUAGAAGGCAUGCCAAUUCCAUAAAAAUGUUCAACAACAUGUAUUCCAUAAAAAUUCUUACCCAAAUUGCAUGCAACCCUAGAACAGACUUUUAGAAUGUUUUCAGUUACGGGCGCAACCCUAAGAUUUAAUCUAGGUUGUUAUCCAAAACUGAAAAACCUGAUAAUGGUGCAAUCCCAUAUAUUGAAGAAGGAUGAUGCUCAAUUGUGCCAGAAGCACAGCUUAUAACAGUAACACUGGCAUUUGGAACUCCAUAUAGAGGGAGCAUACUAAAGAAAACUCACUCCCUCAAUAUUACACCCUCCCUCAAUAUAGAGGAGAGCUUGUAUCUACUUUGGCAAAACAAACUGAAAGAGAAACUGCCAAGGUCAAAAUUCAACUAUCCUCCACAUACAUAAUUUUUUUUGGUCAACUGCCUUAUUUUUUCACAAGUCCUUGCUUUUCCCACCUUUUUCUCAGCAAACAAACAGACUAUGAAAAUCUUCGAAAACAAAAACAUGCAAAUAUUGUUCCCAUGAACACAAACAUCAGAAUCCCACGGAAAAGAACAACAACAACCCACAGAAAAUCCAAAUGCAGAAUAACAGGACCAAAAAGAACAACAACAAAACAACAACCAACAGAAAAUCCAAAGGCAAAAUAACAGGACACAAUCAAAUUUCAUAACAAUCCAAGGGAUUAGCAGCCAUUGUAUAUGAAAUCAUGGACUUCCUAAAAAGUUCUUACACUGAUCCACAAACGCACAUGUUUAGAAGGGCAUGCCAAUUCCAUAAAAAUACUUCACACCACCACAAGAACGAGCCUCGAUCGUCAUUACAAUUCUUCACAAAGAAAGCUCGCGUAAUAUCAUCGCUUCCUUGCCUCCACCAAGCCGACCAGAGUAUCAAUCUUCUUAUCGUUGGUGAUUACUUUUUUGUCCAACUCAUCAAAUUUCCCAUCUAGUCUUGAGAGGUCACCUUUCUAAAUUUCGAGCAAGUCUUUCUUUUCGUCUGCGCCAAGACCCGCCUGAGCCAGUCUGGGCGGGAUCGUGGAUGACGGAAAGGCCGGCGGCAUCCGUCUCGGUGACGGAGAUUUCUCUUUGGAAUUCGGCUUCGGCUAUGAGAGAAGAGUGGAAGGUUAGGGUUUUAGGAUUUCUAGCGAGUCCGAACCUCUCAAUUUUAAAAACUGGGGCUUGAACAGGCUAUAAGCCUAUUAUGCGGG
RNAcentral lists this long non-coding RNA (64105 nucleotides) under Prunus persica (peach). Its description in RNAcentral is "long non-coding RNA (PPER_LNC001546)". The stretch from base 24856 to 24947 matches the Rfam family "MIR6288 microRNA precursor family". The record is from RNAcentral. Lineage: Eukaryota; Viridiplantae; Streptophyta; Magnoliopsida; Rosales; Rosaceae.